Molecule: long non-coding RNA, 59904 nt
Filed under: Triticum aestivum (bread wheat)
Lineage: Eukaryota; Viridiplantae; Streptophyta; Magnoliopsida; Poales; Poaceae
Description: long non-coding RNA (TAES_LNC005443)
Source: RNAcentral
AUUGAUAAUGUUUCAACUCAGAUGAAGUGGUCUGUAUGAUAAGCUUUUGUAGAUCCUGGGGAUCGUUAUACCUUCUGUACAAUUCUCUGUUCUGGAUUCAAAUAGUUUGGGAGUGUUGCAUGCCUUUGUAUUGUGUUCAUAAACCUUGCUAAGUUUCUCCAUGUCCAGUCUUUUCUUCUAAGAAAAAACUCUUUUGUUGCAUCCACAUUAACCAUAUGUAUUUCCAUUUUCAUUUUUGAAUUGUAAACUGUAGCUGCUUAAAACUUUGGUAUAAAAUAAAGCCCUUAUUGGUAAAUGAGACACGUUAUUAGCAAUGUUUCACAUUUUCUUACUUGCAAUACCAUGCUUGCCUGUUCAGGUCUUCCAAGACCUAAAUCAUGAAAUCCAGCACAUACAACACCUUUUUUUAAACUUCGGUUACCCUGACACAAGCCUCCGUUCAAUUUUCUUAUACGGAGGGGUUAGAAAUAGUUACCUUACGUGCUUGCUUUCAAAACUACAUCUACUGAUAAAUGUUUUUUUUUCAAACCACACUGGGUAUCAUGGAUGGAUGAGGUUGUGGCAGUAGUUCGUGGGUGCAGUAUCUAUCUUGAUAAAGCGAUCGAUCAUGGCGCAUUGGAGGCAGAACAAGAGAAAAGCUUUGGGCGUCUGUGGUGUUGAACAUUCAGUGUUUAUGUGCUUUGUACAUGCACGACCAGUUCAGUAACUAGAUGGUCUUUUCUACUUUACUGGUGCUGCUACUUUUUCACAUGCUAGCUUAUUUGAAAAGCGCCAACAAUGUGUGCCACAUGUAAACAGUCCAUGUUGAAAGAAUAGAAGCAGAAGUGUGGAGAUGAUGUAAUUGGUCAGUCAGGAAAUUCAGUCUCAAUGAGCUCAACUAACGACAUGUGUGAGUUGAGCCUGAGGUCAUUUUCAAAGUAACAGAAGUAUUUUACUUUCCUUUUCAUGUCAGUGGUUGAUGCUACUUACAUGUUGUAUCAGGUUAUCAAAGGGCAGCAAUCAUAUACAUUUUAUAAACAAAUAAAACACUUUUAUGAAGCAUGUAGUAGACAAAUAGUGCUACUGAUAAAUGAUUUUUUUUCAAAGCACAAAUGGUGUUUAGUGGGUCUCUGUGUCAGUUUGCGAAAUGGGAGAUUACAAAAAAAUACACAUAUUUUCAACAUGGCAUGGUCUUUAAUGAGAUUCUAUACUCUACCAAAUUAAAAUCUAUAGGUACAUGUCAUUGUAGACAACAAACCUCCAUUAUUUCUUUAUUAAAGAGGAUUGAUUUUAUUCGCAAAAAGGAGGGUUAAAUUUUGUUAGGAUUAAUUAAUGAUUGUUAAUUAUGGGAUAAUCCCUGCUUUCACUAACCGCAGGCAGUUGCAUCUGCCGCGUCGGUUCCCUGCCGAAUAGGCACCCUCCCUGAACAGACGCCUUCCUAUUGGUGUCUCUUCCCUUUGUAUAAAUAGCAGAUCUCAUCUAAUAUAGCACGCUCGCCGUUGAGCGAGUCGAUCGAUUCCGGCGAUCGCCGGAACAAGAAGAUCCACAAGCCAGAGGUGAGAAAGAAAAUGCCACGGUGCAGGAACGCAUCGCGGCUUCCGCGUUCUUCGUUGCCACCAUCGGAACGGCGCGGGGCCGUCGAACCAACCAUGCCGCAACCUGCGCCAGCGCCGCCACAGCCCGAUGUGCCGGCCUGGCCUCCCGCCGGUCCGGCUGCACCAAGGCUCGAGGCCGAUGAGAACAUCGACCCGGCGCUGGCGGCUCCGCGCCGCCUCCGUUCUGGUGCUCGGCGCAUGGCUGGGUAGUAUGCCCCUGUAUCACCACGACUUUGUGGUGGCCGAUCCGGUCGUCGCGGCGCCUCAGGAGGAGGGAACCGUCGUCAUCGACGAUGAAGAAGUUGGGGACGCGCCGCUGCAGCAUCCGACCCCGGCGGUUGUAGAGGCCGAUGGCGGCGCGCCGCUCCCGAUGCUGCUGACGAUGGCGCACAUCCCGGCCACACAUCAAGUGCAAGUUCAUGACGGUGACACGCUCGCCUUCGUGUCCGCGCUGACCGGAGCCUCCGCCUUCUGCCUUCGGCUCUGGCGUGAGAGGUUCCACUAGCACCAUGGUCGUCGCCGACGUCGCACCACCGGACUUGCCAUCCCCGACGUCCGCAACUCCUCCGCCUUCGCCGCGCAUAGACGCUCGCCGACGUCUUCUGGCCCUCGGCGUGCCCCUGACGAGCCCGCCUUCGAGCAACCGCUCCGGCCGCGCUGGCACAUGGAGUCCAGCGGCGCUCGGGCUCGCGAAUGACCUUGCGCCGAGCACCCUGCUCCCUGGAGUUUCCUCGGACGAGGACGAGGGCAGCGGGAGCACCUCUCGCCACCGGUGAACGCCGCUGUGGUGGCCGUCAGCCGUGUCCUCUCUAUCUGUUCCUGUCUCGGGCGGGGAUGGGGUCAAUCGAUUGGGGAAUUUUCCCCUCGGUCGUUCUCCUUAUCUCUUCACCAGGCUGGGAGCAAUAUGUGGCAUGUCCGCGUGUGUGUGUGGCAGGGAGCGAGGGAAUCAAACCUCUAGCAGCUACACGUGCAUGCGAUGGAAAUAAGGCACCAGCAGCCAGUGUGGUUAUUUAAUUGUUGGCUGUCAAUGGCGAUGGAUGCGGUGCGCGGCUCCCUCCCGUGCGAUUCAUCGGCCUUAGGGCUUGAUGCGGCCCUGGCCUUUGGCCCCGACGACAACAACAUCUUCGCUCUCUAAUGAUACGGCCGGUCGGCCAGCCGUGGGAGUCUCUGCCUGUUUCAGUCUUGUGAGGAUUGGGGAUCGACUCGCUGGGGAUUUCUUUCCCUUUCUCUCUCCUUAUCUUUUCGAUCGACUGGACUUUCUCGCUUGCGUGGCCAUGUGCAUGCGGUGGAAAUUUAGGCAACCGGCAGGCGUUGCUUUAUUUGCUACUCCAUGAGUACUUGCUUCUCUGAUUGAGCACAGUAGCAGAUUAUUAGUGUUCCAACACACUCCUACCAGUGAUUUCAUUCCUGUUAAAAUCAGUACAUAUAUUUUUGUACUGUUUUCUGUUGAGUACCAAGGUAUUUCAGAUCUUAAGUUGAUGUAAUAUAUUUCCACGUUUAUCACGUGUUGAGAUUAAUUAUGUUCAUUCGCAAUUGAGAUUUUUCAUCUCUUGCAAAGAUAAUUUCAGUACCUCUACGCUACUGGUUUGCGAUUGAGAAUUUUUUUUUCUCGCAAAACAAUCUUAUUGCGAUUGAGAUUAAUUUUCUCUUGCAAAAUAUUAAUUCACUUUGCUGAAUUAUCUUGCAACUUGAUACAAGAUCAUCUCAUUUAAUUUGAGGUCUAUACAAUUCAAGUUUUUCACUUGAACAUCAAGUUUGCAACAUCAUUACUAUUCAUUACAAUAGUAGUGUAUUUCUGUUGAGUAUGAUGUAUUCCGGAAUGUAUAUAUCUCCAUGUUAGCUACAUGUCGAGAUUAAUACAUCUAUUUGCAAUUGAGAUUUUUAAUUUCUUGCAAAUAAGAAUGCAAAAUUCAAGGUGAUUUCUUCAAAUUAAUGUAUUGAGAUCACAAGGUAGUCAUAUAGAUCUACUGCCGUUUGCAGAUUAUCAAUGACUACUGUUAAAGCCUAUAUUUUGUCAUUUUGACAUUAUAAUUGCUUUACAAAGUGCUCUCCCACACAUUUUGCUAAGUCAUGACAUAAGGCAUUACGAGUGAGUAUCUACUGAUUUCAUGAGAUUAUACUCUCUAGUGCUGCGAGAUCUACUCCAUUUUGAAGAUUAUCUUCAAGGUGUCAUAUUUAGCAAUUUGAAAUUCACACUAAUGGUUUCAAGAUAACUUCUUGAAAUACCCACUGAUUUUGCUAAGUUCAUUACAACAUCAACCAUGAUGGUCUUUAAUUUACUGGUUGUAAAUUAAUUAUCUCUGGUUUACCCAUAGAGGUAACAUAUGGCUAUAGAGUUUGAGGCAUUCGCCCUCAAUGGCCACCACUGCCCUAUCUGGACCAUGGACAUCAUGAUCGCUCUUGUGUCUCAUGAGAUAAUGUGUGCAAUCCUGAUUUCACCUCUGGUCAGGAUCACACCGCUAACAGAAAAUGAUGUCUUAUAAAUCAUAAGGCAUUAGAUUCAGAUAUCAGCAUCUGGUUAUUCUGUAUCAGCAAUUCCUGUGAUACAAUGAACCUCAAGGGAGAAGGUUUGAAUCUUACUUCAACCUUCAAUCCAACAUCACCGGCUGUGACGGGACCCUAUUAGCAUGGAGAAUGUGAUGGUUGAAUAUGCCUCAACCGACAUGUUUGGAGACUAUGAAUAGUCUUUCAAUCUCCUGAGUGGUCAGUAUAAUUAAUGUCCAUUUACGAUGUUGUAACAACAACACAAGUAUUGUUGUCAUCGUCAUAUAUUGUAUAUCACAAUAUAUUGUAUCAGCACUUUGGUACAAAUACAUUUGUAUGUCUAUAUAUCUGACAGUGAUUUUCAUAUUGAGAAUCUUCAUGUCUAUAUAUAGAUUUCUACGGGAGUCAAUCCAAUGAAAAAUGAUAUGUGCCUUGUGGACAUAUGCACCACAAACUCUAUACUCAGGGAAGUCCAAUGUUUCCACUCUCAUUGAGAUAAAUGAGAUAUUUUAAAAUCGCUAGACGCGAUGAGGUAUUUGUUGGCUCAACUCGAGUCAUAUUUACUAUCCCUGUGGGUACUCGAGUAAUGCAGGGAUGCUUCAUUGCUUCCCAAGUUUAACUCGUACCCUACUAAGCUAUAGAGAUAUUCGUCAAAAUGGUUUCCAUAGUGAAACUUAUGAUGACAAGAAAGGGAAAUACAUUCUCUUUACCAUAUGCAACGGAUAUGGCAAGCACAUUCUCUAUGUAUCAUCUGGAUUGUAUUACACAUACUACAAAACCCGUAGCACAUGUUGCGCCCAAGAUAGUUUUCCAAAAUGUCUUGUACAUGAAAACUUGGCAUACUCGCCUUGGUCAUCGAGACAUUGGGUUGAAACCGAAACUAUCAGCAAUUCCAAUAGUUUAUGAUUAUUAUGAUGCUAAAUUCUAACAACAUUUGAAUUUUAUAUGCACUACAAGUGACACAGGGAAGCUAAUUUUAAGGCUCGCACACCUUAAAGUCUACGCUGAACCACUCAGACUCCUUGAAUGCAUCAAGUUGAGGUAAGUGGCUCUUCCCAUCCAUUGACUAGACUAUUCAGGUAUUCCAUGGUUCUAAAAGACAUAUCUACAUGAUGGUCUUAAGUGUGUGCUUUAUUCACACGAAACCAUUGGCUCAUUAUCCUGACAUCGAUUUCAAGCAAAUCAAAAUGGAUAACAUUGCAUAAUUCUCCUUGAGUGCCUUCUCUAUGGCCCUUGGAUUGAAGUUUAGCAAUUUGUCCUAAUGUCUAGACUCAAAAUGGUUUGGUAGAAUCAUAUCCAAAGAGUUAAAGCUCAUUUCAUUAUCUUUACUUUGAAGUUGCAUACCGAUAUCACCACCCGGCAUACAUCAUUGGCCCCUCAACAUAUAGUUGGGAUCUAUGUGAGGAAUAACUGUAUUUCCGUCAAUACCUCAAGCCCCUCGCAUGGGGAGCUAUUCAAGGCCAGUAUGCUAAUUCAAUGAGGAACAUUUCCAGGCAUUAGGGGGAGAUUUCAAUUACCAUAAAGAAUGCCAGGAAAUUAGUGGAAUGUUCAACACAUUUCUGCCUCAAAUCCAUGUACUCAAAGAUCUGAACCAUGCGUUCAGAAGAUUUGCAACACAUUGCAAAUAACCUGCCAGAUUCAUUUACUGACUAUAAAGGUGUCAUACAAUCCUACAAUCCUGAAAAAUAUGCCGGAAAGAGUGGAGGUACCAACUAAAACCACUCAACUCCCCAUUCAAAGCAACAGGGGGAGAAGUACAGCAAUAGUACAUUAGGAUUCAGCUUCUCGCGAGCAAGGAUGUCAAGGCCUGUGAAUCAGUAAAUGCAAGUCAACUUCAAGUUGACAGACACCUGAUGGGUAGUAUACACCCAGUGGACGAGAAACCUCCACCAACCCAGGUCAUAGUGCACAAAAUGACUGGGACAUCGGAAUACCCGACUCAACCGCAUUGGGAAAUCAUGAGAAGUCACUAUGGGUAACGAUAUUUCCAUCAACUAUAUAUUGAUAUAUAGAUUCUGGAGAAACAUAUAACCGGAAGUCUACAAUUGUCGACAUACAUUUCUCAACUAGAUUGCAAAACCUUACAAAUGAUUCAGAUCCAAAGACCAUAGCCAUGGCAAAGUGUGAUCAACACUCGGACUGAACUCAAGCAAAGGGUAUAAUCUAGGUAGAAAUGAUCUUGCUCAAUAAUGGGAAGGUAUUCAUAAGCAAUACCUACACCAGUUUUCUUCUGGAAACAGAAUUGAAAACAACCAGGUGGUGAAACAAAGAGCAAGUAUUGUAGCGCAAGGGUUCACGCAGACACCCAACUAUUCUCCGGAGGUGGAAUCUCAUUCUGAUAACUUAUAUCAUUGGCGAUUCAAAAUCAUCUAUCUCUGCAGUUGAUAGAUGUAGUGAUUACAUAUCCAUGUGGAUCACUAGAUUCAGACAUAUAUGAUUGAUUUCCGAUGGAAUCUCAAUUCUGAAUCGAAAUACAAAAUGCAACAUACAUUGUGUAAAUUCGGUAAGCCACCAUACGACUUAUUGUUGUCGGUAAAUAUGGUACAACCGACGUAGUGAGAUCCUUAUACUCAAGGAUUACUCCUACCAUGAUGAUUAUCCAUGUGUUAUGUGUCUGCAAUGACGACAUAUGUAAUCAUCUAAGUGCCGGACUUUAAAAUGAAGGAUUUGGGUAAACCAAAAUAACGCUCGUUAUUACUACAACUUGAGCAUCUUCAUUCAUACAUUAUGGUAUACUAUGUUGUCUAUAUCCAUAAUAUAUUGGAGAAAUUCAUUGUGGACAAAUCUUAUCCAUCCAUAACUCUCAUGGUAGUUCAUUCUCUAGACAUAGAGAAAGGUCUAUUUAGACCAAGAGAUGAUGGAAAUGAGAUAUUGGGACUCAAUGUUCCAUAAUGCCAUUGGAUCCACCAAACACAAUUGGUUGGUACUCAAGAAUAUCUUUGAUAUCUCCAAAGGCAUCAAACAUCUUGUCCUGGUUUUUCAGUUUCACAGAAAUGUGAACACCGAUAUCAUUGGAUACAUCGAUCAGAUCCCCACUAUGUCAGAUCAUAGACAAGCUUAGUGUUCCUACUAGGUGUGGUAGCCCCCUCAUGAAGAGUCUUCGAAACAUACCUCAUGGCAACAUCCACCAACCAUUAUCUCAAUGAUAAUGUUGCUUGUGUUGCCCGGAUGCAAACAUGUUACUAAUAAGCAAUAUCUUUAUAUUGCAUAUCUUGCAAGUCAAAUCAUGCAACUAAUUUGUUCACCAAGUCUCUACCAACUUUUACAUUCCAGAAACAUGUUCAUGGAAUUGGUAGGUGACGGCUUUGGAAUUUGCAAGAAUCAAGGGGGUAUCUUCCUAAGUUGUUCCUAUUCAAUGCAUCAUAUUAUACUCUUUUUCCCUUCAUGAGUUUACUAUACAGGUUCUCAUAAAGGUUUUUAAUGAGGUAAUAUCAACAUGAGAUCAUAUGUCAUACUUUCUGUUUUCCCCACCGGGUUUUUGGGAAAGUAUAUACGACAUAUUUAUUGUCCUCUAAACUCUAUGAGUUUUCUCGUAUUGAGUUAAAAGAGACAAUGACCAAUAUAUGUUGUACCAUUUUCUCCUUAUUUUUCCCACCGGGUUUGAAGGAGUUUUAGCAACAUAUCAAACUCGUAUCUCCUUACAUUUUUUCCACAGGGUUUUCAAGGAGAAUCUUUAUCAAGAUGAAGUCUGCUCAUAAUCAAGCAUUGAUUAGGGGGAGUGUUAGGAUUAAUUAAUGAUUGUUAAUUAUGGGAUAAUCCCUGCUUUCACUAACCGCAGGCAGUUGCAUCUGCCGCGUCGGUUCCCUGCCGAAUAGGCACCUCCCUGAACAGACGCCUUCCUAGUGGUGUCUCUUCCCUUUGUAUAAAUAGCAGAUCUCAUCUAAUAAAGGAUACACAGUUUUCAUUACUUCUCUCGUUCUACUCUAACAAAUUUGUUACCAUACGUGCUUGUCGACAACUAAAAUAAGGAUUUUUUUUUAAUGUGAACAUGGAUUCAAUGGUUCUCUGCGAUGACGCAACAGAAAUAACUACAAGGAUUUAUUUGCAUACGUAUACAUCCAUAAAUGUUUUAGGAGAGAAUUACAACACAAGAUCUACGAUGCCUAAAAAAAGAUACGAGAGCAGUAAAAAAUAGCCACAUAAAGAGGAGAAAUGCAAGAUCCGGAUAAAUGAGAACUAAACCCAUGCACGCAGAGAAAUCCGAAAUCGAAGGAAAGGAGAAGUUUCACCAGUUGAGUACGCCUCUCUGGGAGCGCUUCUCUCGCCCACUUGAGGAACCGAGGAGGAAAGGUGGAUAAACAAGCUCGAUGGAUUCAGUCCCUGGCCACACAUAGUAUUGUUCGUGGACUGAGCUAGGUAGCAUAUGGGCAUUUCAAAUACCUAUGCCUCCAUGUGCACAACACAAAGAGUUUUUUUUCAUGCACAUGAAAAAUAAAAGUUUGGUACAAACACCGCUAAAAAAUACAUCCUUAACUGGCUAUACAUCGUAUACAAAUAUGUUUUUUUAAAUCAGAUUUCUCAUCGUGACAACCAUAUUUUCAACCAAUAAAAACUUCCUUAGCUGGUCUAUACAUGUCAUACAAUUUUUUUUCAAACUUGGAUUUCAUAGCAUGCUAAACAAGUAAACAUAUUUUCAAUAUAGCAUGGUUUAACACAUGGACUUUCUACUACCAAUAUCGAAUAUGUACUUUCAAAAUGAAACUAUUUUCAUCGACAACAUGUUUUUAGCGGGUCUCUGCACCAUUUGGCGCAACGGGUCAACUAGUUUUAUCAUAUAGUUGAUGUUCUCUGAGUGCUUUAAAGACCAUUGCCAGAUGUUUCAGAUGUUCCUUGUAGGAUUUGCCGAAUACCAGUAUGUCAUCAAAGAAAACCAGAACACAAAUCCUGAGGAGUGGCCCCAAUACUGAAUGCAUCAGCUGAUGGAAGGAAGGUGGACCAUUGGUCACUCCAAAAGGCACAACAAGGAAUUCAUAGAUACCCAUGUGUGUGCUGAAUGCAGUUUUCUCUAUAUCUUCUACUUUCAUUCUGAUUUGAUGAUAUCCACUCCUUAGAUCAAUCUUAGUGAAGAUUGUUGCUCCAUGUAAUUCAUCAAGGAGGUCCUCAAUCAUAGGGAUGGGAUAUUUGUUUUUAUAGUGUAAGCAUUCAGUUUCCUGUAGUCCACACAUAGUCUCCAAGUGAGAUCCUUUUUCUUGACCAGUAUUGCUGGGGAAGAAUAAGGGCAGCUACUUAAUCUAAUUAUUCCUUUGUGAAUGAUAUCCUUUAUGAUUUGUUCCAUUGCAUUCUUAUGAUGAGGAGGCAUUCUGUAGCAUCUUUGGUCUAUGACAAGUGCCUCAUGUUCUAGAUUGAUUGCAUGAUCACAAGAUCUCUUUGGAGGUAGGGCUCUAGGUUCUUGGAAUACAUCCUUAAAUUUGUCAACAGUUUGGAUAUUUCAGAUGUAUGUUCCCCCACUUUUCCACUGUCCAUUGUGACAGGUUGCAUCCAAAGUAAAUGAUGUAGGGUAGAACCCUGGAUGCUUGAUCUUUCACGAUUGGAGUGUAUCCCGCAACGAGCACAACGAACACGAGGGGAAAAUACAAGGGGAAACACGAGAGGAUUCACUCAAACCAACAAGAUUCGAUUACACAUGUCUAGAUUCUUGAAACACAAAGAGAUACACGAUCCACGCUCAACAAAGGAUGAUACAAGUAGCAAGUCUUCUCCGUGAGGAGGUCUUGAGGGGUCCCAUGAGGGGUCUUGAAUCUGCUUGGGGGAUCUUCUCCAAAGAGGUCGUGGACUCCAAUGGAGAAGUAACCAAGUGGAUGAGAAAAUCUCUAUCUCUCAAAUGAGCUAAUCCUUUGCUAACCCUAGUAAAGUGGAGGAGGAUGAGUUUAUAUAGGCUAAGGGGACAAAGGGGUGCAUGGGCCUUGGCCCAAUACGCACGCACAGGAGGGGGUUCGGAUGAUCCGGAUGGGGAGCCAGAUGAUCCGAGCUUUAGGGACUCGGAUGAUCCGAGAGAUGGUCCGGAUGGUCCGGACGUGGCGAGGAGGCAGGCGACCGCCCUGAUGUCCGAAGGAGGGUCCGGACGUCCGGCUCGGUCCGGAUGAUCCGGGACUCCGUCUGGAUUAUCCGGCUUCGGGUGCAGCUUCGAGUGCUCUCGAGUGGAUUUGCCAGAUCGUCCGAACCGGGGUUUGGAUCGUCCGGGCUCUGUCCGGAUCGUCCGGACCUUGUCUGGAUCAUCCGGCCAGCCUGGGACUUGGCCGAAUCCUUCUCCAUCUUUGCACAUGUUCUCCUCUUCUGAUCCUCCUUGUUCCUUAGCUUCUCCACGGCUAACUCCUUGGUACCUGAGUAUGCAAAGCGUCUCUGUUUAAGGUAGUAGCCAUGUCUCAUGUGAUUCAAAAGGGAGUUGCGAGAGGAGUGAUGUCACCUCGGUUUCAAGAGCUCUUGCACGUGCUCGUGUCAUGGGUCCACUAGGCACUUGGUGAGACGAUGAUAGGUCCAUGGGGAUGACCUUGGGAUGCUCUGCAUCAUCUUCCCACCCCCUUGGGAAAGAUCCGACCUCGGGUCGAAAUCUUCAUCAGCAUGGUAGGGAGAAAGGUCCUUGACAUUGAAGAUAUCGCUCACAUUGUGCUUGUCACAUGGGAUGUCGAUCUUGUAGGCGUUGUUGUUUUAGCGUUCGAGCACCUUGAAGGGGCCAUCGGCUCGUGGUAGAAGCUUGGACUUGCAUUUGUUGGGGAAGCGGUCCUUGUGAAGGUGUAGCCACACAAGAUCUCUAAUGUUGAAUAUCAUGGGUUGCUUGUUGAUAUUGAGCUUGGUCGUGAGGCGUUGUACUUGGCGCUCGAUGGUGUUCCUUGUAUCUUCAUGCACCUUCUUGAGAUAGUUCACUCAUGCAGUCACAUCCAUGUUGAUGCGCUCUUGUAGUGGAAGAGGUAGAAUGUCCAAUGGGGACAACAGGUUGAAACCAUAGACGGCCUCGAAGGGGGACUUGCCAGUAGUAGAGUGUCUUGCGCGAUUGUAGGCGUACUCAGCGAUGGGUAGGCACUCUUCUAUUCCUUGAUGUUCUUCUUGAUCAACACGCGUAGCAGAGUGGAGAGUGUCCGGUUCGUGACCUCCAUUUGGUCGUUGGUUUGUGGGUGGUAUGCCAAAGAGAACAAGAGCUUGAUUCUGAGCUUGGUGCAUAGGGUCUUCCAAAAGUAGCUUAAGAACUUGAUGUCACAGUCCGAGACAAUAGUCUUUGGCACUCCAUCUAGGCGCAAGAUUUCCCUACAAAAAUAUUUGCAACAUGUGAAGCAUCGUCUAUCUUGUUACAUGGGAUGAAAUGAGCCAUUUUAGAGAAUAGGUCCACAAUAACAAACACAGAAUCUUUUCCAUUUCUAGUUCUAGGCAAACCAAGCACAAAGUCCAUACUAAUAUCUUCCCAUGAGUGAUACGGAAUAGGAAGUGGCAUAUAUAGACCAUGGGAUUGAACUUUAGACUUAGCUUUGCAACAUGUAGAGCAUCGAUUGGUGAAGCGUGAGAUGUCGCGGGACAUCUUGGGCCAAUAGUAGUUCUUUGAGAGCGUAGCGAAAGUCUUGUCAUGUCCAAAGUGUCCCAUAAGUCCUCCAUGGGAUUCUUGCAAAAGUAACAAACGAAGAGAAGACUCGGGGGUACAAAGUCUGUUAGCCCUCAUAAGAUAAUCAUCUUUGAUAUAAUAGCGUUCCCAAGAUGUAUGUGUCAAACAUUUGGCAAAUGGAAUAGAAAAAGUAGGAUCAUGCGCAUACAAGUCUUUUAUGUGCUCAAAGCCAAUGACAUUCAAUUCAAGUUUAGUAACAAGCAUGCAUUUGCGUGAAAGUGCAUCUGCCACAACAUUUUAUUUGCCUUUGAUGUAAUUGAUGACACAAGUAAAUGACUCAAUGAAUUCACUCCACUUAGCAUGAUGCUUGUUCAACUUAGUUUGACCCUUACACUACUAGGGAAAACUCUAGUAGUAGCGCUAGUUUUAUAGCUACUGGUAGCGCUUGUACAAGCACUAUGAGUAAGGCACUACAGCUAAUUGGUAGCAGUAGCGCUGCUUUUCCAAUGCUACUGCUAUACCUAGUUAGCAGUCGCACUUGGUAGGGAAAAGCGCUACUAAUAAUAGUAAGUAGCAGUAGCGUUUCUUUUGAAAAGCGGUACUGCUAAGUUUUCCUGUAUUUUUGAAAAUGCAGCUUAUUGUCGCUGUAUUGGUAUAGGUUUUAUAUACAGUACUUUCAUCACAUGAUUUUAUGACCAUGAUUAGUUAGUAUAUACAACAGUGGGUGAAAUGAAUGUGGAUUAUGUUCAAUUGGAGGCAACAUGUGGUGCAUGUCGAAAGUAUACUACUAAUCCAAACUUGAUCCAGUUUGGAUUAGUAGUACUUUCGAUGUGCACCACAUGUUGCCUCCACUUGAAUCUAAUCCAUGUUCGUUUCACCCACUGAUAUAUAUAAUAACUCAUCAUGCUCAUAUAACAACUUAGCAUCAUGCAUCAUAAUAAUAAUAAAUAACUCAUCAUUGGUAUCAUAAUAACAAGUCAUACUCAUCAUCAUCAUACAACUUCUACUCAUUAUCAUAAUAAUAAGUCAUACUCAUCAUCAUCAUAGUCAUUUAGCCAACCCUACUUAAUUGUUCUUGGCACAUGAGCAUGAGUAUUAGCUAGGACCUAACUACCCUCUCUAAAGUAAAAUAGCAUAAAACAAGAUAGGCCCCGACUCUCCAUUUUGGAGAAUGGAGAUUAUCUUGUCUCCAAUUCUUGUGCUUCGCACAAUGUUGCUUCCAAGUAGCUCCCUAUGAUUGUCCAUACAUUUUUCCAAUCUUUGAAUGUCAUGUCUUCAGCGUUUUUAGAAAUCCGGUAUGAACAGUAGUGAAGCCUAGGCAGACCUGGCCAUAAGCUAAUAACAUCAAGGUGACCUUUCGGAAACAUGAGAUGAGGCACACAAUCCUUCGGGAUUUUCUGUUGAAAAACAUAGUAAUAACGCGUAGUUAGCAAUGUAGUUUAGCUUUAGAAGAAUUUAUGCAAAAGAUGCACAGAUGUCAUAAUAGUAAAAAAUCUUACCAUGCCAUUUCCAUAGAUGUUACCAUAGUUCAACACAUGCACUAGUGGCACGUAUUGACCAUAAUGUGCAGGAAUAUGAUAAUUGAUUUUGUAAUUGUCAACAUCAAUAAUAAAUGAGAUAAGAUGAUCUUUCUCCUGAUAAGUUAAUUCUGCACCAUCGGUGUAGUAGGUUCUGUCUACCGUCUUCCGUACAUUCUUUGAAGAAUGAAAAUAAGCUAUAAUGGAAACAAGCUGUCAACUAUUUUGAAAUAAAAAAUAUAAAUUACUUAAUGACUAUGUUUGAGAAACUCACAUAGCGGUAGAAUUGGAAGCGUAUCAACAAGGACCCAAAUGUCCAUAUUAUCUUCCUUGAUGUCAGGAUCACCAAGAUCCAAGGUGACAAGCAUACCCUCAUGAAAAUCAUACAUCUUGCAAAGUGAUUCCCAAUUUGGGAAACCAAAAUGGGAUACGCUCUCAGAAUUGUAUAAAUUUAUAGCAAAAUCCAUACCAUGAUGGGUCCUUAGGUGAACUAUCUUUGUUUCCAUACUUUCAUGAUCUUCAAAAUCCAGCCUCUCCAAGACACAACGUCUUGCAUGGCAUGGGAUAAGCUAGUCGAAUUGUAAAAGAUGAAAAUUACACUUUGAAGAAGUAGAAGUCGUGCUUAAUUAGGAAAAAAACACUUGUCAUCGUUGCGUACCAUUUCAACGUCGAAGGUCUUCUGGAGCUUAAUGUUGAAGCGCCAACCUUCUACCAGUUGAGGCCUAUCGCACAAACCCCGGUCGUCGUCGCACCAGUCGCACUCCGCCAGGAGACUUUCAUUGUCCGAUGACGACAUUUCCUAGGUUCAUAACUCAAAGACUAAACUUAUACAAUUAAAUAUAUGUACUAUGAAAACUAAAUUAGAUCAUUAUUAUUCAUCACGAGUUGACUAUCGGUCUGUUGAGUCUUUUCCUGAAAACUCUCAGCUCACGCGGUGUAUACAUUUGACCGUUGGUGAUGGUCGCUCCUCCUUUCGUUCCCAAGUGCAUUACACCAAAAUGUCUAGCACACAGGAAGGAAGGAGAAGCGACCCCCAUGACAACAGUUGGGAUUCUUCAUCCUCUCAUAUAUGGUGGACACUCUCCCUCACUGAUUCCUCUCUAACAUUUGUGACCGUCGGUGAUGGUCGUUACUCCUCCUUCCCGUACUGCAUAACAAAGGUCUAGCACAAGGAGAAUAAGGAGAAACAACCCCCCCAAUGACAGUCGGGAUUCUUCGUCCUUUCUCAUAUAUGUUGGACACACUCCCUCACUGAUUUUUUACGGUCGGUGAUGGUCGUUACUCCUCCUUCCCCAAGUGCAUAACAAAGGUCUGGCACAAGAAGAAGAAGGCGAAACGACCCCCACGACAACAGUCGGGAUUCUUCUUCUCUCAUAUAUGGUGCAGACUUUCUCCCUCACUCAUUUGUUGACUGUCAUGUAUGGAGCUGAUACGUCUCCAAUGUAUCUAUAAUCUUUGAUUGUUCCAUGCUAUUAUAUUAUCUGUUUUGGAUGUUUUAUAUGCAUUAAUAUGCUAUUUUAUAUUAUUUCUGGGUCUAACAAUACCAGUUUUUGUUUUUUCCUUCUUUUUGAGUUUCGCAGAAAAGGAAUACCAAACAGAGUCCAAACGGAAUGAAACCUUCGCGAUGAUUUUUCUUGGACCAGAAGACAACCAGGAGACUUGGAGAUGAAGUCGGACAAGCCACGAGGUGGCCACAAGGACAGAGGGCGUGCCCAGGGGGGUAGGGCGCGCCCCCACCCUUGUGCCCCUCGUGACUCUCCUGACCUAAUUCUUUCGCCUAUAUAUUCACAAAUAUACCCAAACCACCAGAGGGAGCCACGAAAACACAUUUCCACCACCGCAACCUUCUGUACCCAUGAGAUCCCAUCUAGGGACCUUUUCUGGCACCCCGCCAGAGGGGGAUUCGAUCACAGAGGGCUUCUACAUCAACUCUAUUGCCCUUCCAAUGAAGCGUGACUAGUUUACCACAGACCUACGGGUCUAUAGCUAGUAGCUAGAUGGCUUCUUCUCUCUCUUUGAUUCUCAAUACCAUGUUCUCCUAGAUGUUCUUGGAGAUCUAUUCGAUGUAAUACUUUUUUGCAGUGUGUUUGCCGAGAUCCGAUGAAUUGUGGAUUUUUGAUCAGCUUAUCUAUGAAUAUUAUUUGAAUCUUCUCUGAAUUCUUUUAUGCAUGAUUUGAUAUCUUUGUAAUUCUCUUCGAACUAUCGGUUUGGUUUGGCCAACUAGAUUGGUUUUUCUUGCAAUGGGGGAAGUGCUUAGAUUUGGGUUCAAUCUCGCGGUGUCCUUUCCCAGUGAUAGUAGGGGUAGCAAGGCACGUAUUGUAUUGUUGACAUCGAGGAUAAAAACAUGGGGGUUUUCAUCAUAUUGUUUGAGUUAAUUCCUCUACAUCAUGCCAUCUUUCUUAAUGCGUUACUCCGAUCUUUAUGAACUCAAUACUCUAGAUGCAUGCUUUAUAGCGGUCGAUGUGUGGAGUAAUAGUAGUAGAUGCAGAAUUGUUUCGGUCUACUUGACACGGACGUGAUGCCUAUAUUCAUGAUCAUUGCCUUAGAUAUCGUCAUAACUUUGCGCUUUUCUAUCAAUUGCUCGGCAGUAAUUUGUUCACCCACCGUAUUAUUUGCUAUCUUGAGAGAAGCCUCUAGUGAAACCUAUGGCCCCCGGGUCUAUUUUCCAUCAUAUAAGUUUCCGACCUACAAUAUUAGUUUUUGAUAUACUAUUUUGCAAUCUUUUACUUUCCGAUCUAUAAACCAAAAAUACCAAACUUUACUGUUUAUCUAUCUUAAUCAGAUCUCACUUUUGCAAGUAACCGUGAAGGGAUUGACAACCCCUUUAUCACGUUGGCUGCAAGUUGUUUGAUUGUUUGUGCAGGUAUUCAGUGAUUUGUGCGUUGUCUCCUACUGGAUUGAUACCUUGGUUCUCAAACUGAGGGAAAUACUUAUCUCUACUUUGCUGCAUCACCCUUUCCUCUUCAAGGGAAAAACCAAUGCAAGCUCAAGAAGUAGCACAAUGAAUUUCUGGUGCCGUUGCCGGGGAGAUCUAUGCCAAGUCAAGACAUACCAAGUACCCAUCAUAAACUCCCAUCUCUUUCAUUACAUUAUUCGCCAUUCGCCUCUCAUUUUCCUCUCCCCCACUUCAAAAACGAUUUUCGAAAAGAUUUGCCUUUUCUUCGCCCCUCUUCCGUUUGUCUUCUUCGUUUGCUUUUUCUCUGAUCAUGUGUUGGAUUGCUUGUUUUGUCACGAUGGCUCAACCAAAAAACGUUGAUCCUCACUUUAGGAGGCUGGAAGAAAUUGAAAAUAAUGUUAGGAGCUUCAUGUCUUUGCAAUUUGAGCAUAAUAAUUUCUUUAGAAACGAGCUCAAGGAGCAGAAAUUUUUUAUGGAAUACAUGAAUAAAUAGCUUGAUGAUAUGUCUAAGAAAUUUUAUGGGUUGAAAUCUUAGUUUGCUCAUCUUGAAAAUUUAGUACACCAAAUUUCUGAUAAACAAGAUACCUUAGCAAAUAAGAUGGCCGCUAAACCAGAAUCUUUAAAUAAAGAUGAAGAUCUUAAAGUGAUUGAUGUGACUCCUAUUGAAUCUUUCUUUUCCAAUAUAAAUCUUGAUAAAGAUGGGACUAGAGAUGAGUCAACUUUAGUUAAAAGGCGUCCCAGUGAUUCAAAGUUUUUAGAUCUUGAUGCAAAAAUUGAUAAAAGUGGGAUUGGAGAGGGCAAAAGUUUAAGUAGUAAUGAACCAACUCUUUUGGUUUCCAAGGAAUUUAAUUAUGAUAAUUGUUCUUUAAUAGAUUGUAUUUCCUUGUUGCAAUCCAUGUUGAAUUCUCCUCAUGCUUAUAAUCUAAACAAAGCUUUUACUAAACAUACCGUUGAUGCUAUGAUGCAAUCUUUUGAAGAAAAACUUGAAUUGGAAGUUUCUAUCCUAGAAAACUUUAUGAUGAGUGGGAACCUACUAUUAAGAUUAAGAUUAAGUAUUAUGAGUGCCAUGCUUUGUGUGAUUUGGGUGCUAGUGUUUCCACGAUUCCAAAAACUUUAUGUGAUGUGCUAGGUUUUCGUGAAUUUGAUGGUUGUUCUUUAAAUUUGCAUCUUUGGAUUCCACUAUUAAGAAACCUAUGGGAAGAAUUAAUGAUGUUCUUAUUGUUGCAAAUAGGAAUUAUGUGCCCAUAGAUUUCAUUGUUCUUGAUAUAGAUUGCAAUCCUACAUGUCCUAUUAUUCUUGGUAGACCUUUCCUUGGAACGAUUGGUGCAAUUAUUGAUAUGAAAGAAGGAAACAUUAGAUUUCAAUUUCCCUUAAGGAAGGGAAGGAAGGGCAUGGAACAUUUUCCAAGAAAGAAAAUUAAAUUGCCAUAUGAAUCUAUUAUGAGAGAAACUUAUGGAUUGCAUACCAAAGAUGACAAUACCUAGAUCUAUUAGUGUUUUUAUUCCUAGCUAGGGGCGUGAAACAAUAGCGCUUGUUGGGAGGCAACCCAAUUUUAUUUUUGUUUUUGCUUUUUAGGUUCUGUUUUGUAAUAGAUAGUUCAUCUAUCCUCUGUUUAGAUGUGGUUUUUGUGUUUUAAUUAGUGUUUGUGCCAAGUAAGACCUUUGGGAUGGCUUACGGUGAUAGUUGAUUUGAUUUUGCUGAAAAACAGAAACUUCUGCUCUCAGGAAAACAAUUCUCAUUUCUAACAAAAGCGUGAUAAAAUAUUGAUCUUUUUGUAGAAGAUUAAUAAACAAAUUUCUUAGGUUGUCCUAAUUUUUCAGAAUUUUUUGAGUUACAGAAGUAUUCGAACUAUCCAGAUUAUUACAGACUAUUCUGUUUUUAACAGAUUCUAUUUUCUAUGUGUUGUUUGCUUAUUUUNNNNNNNNNNNNNNNNNNNNNNNNNNNNNNNNNNNNNNNNNNNNNNNNNNNNNNNNNNNNNNNNNNNNNNNNNNNNNNNNNNNNNNNNNNNNNNNNNNNNNNNNNNNNNNNNNNNNNNNNNNNNNNNNNNNNNNNNNNNNNNNNNNNNNNNNNNNNNNNNNNNNNNNNNNNNNNNNNNNNNNNNNNNNNNNNNNNNNNNNNNNNNNNNNNNNNNNNNNNNNNNNNNNNNNNNNNNNNNNNNNNNNNNNNNNNNNNNNNNNNNNNNNNNNNNNNNNNNNNNNNNNNNNNNNNUCUAUGGGUAGUAUUGGGGGGGGGGGCGGGGUAUAAACCAUGGAAAUGUUGGAAUACAGUAGAUAUUACACCAAUAUAAAUAAAGAAUGAUUUCAUAACAGUACCAAAAGUGGUGAUUUAUUUUCUUAUACUAACGGAGCUUAUGAGAUUUUGUGCUGAGUUUUGUGCUGUGAAGUUUUCAAGUUUUGGGUAAGGAUUUGAUGGACUAUGGAAUAAGGAGUGGCAAGAGCCUAAGCUUGGGCUUGGGUAUGCCCAAGGCACCCCAAGGUAAUAUUCAAGGACAACCAAGAGCCUAAGCUUGGGGAUGCCCCGGAAGGCAUCCCCUCUUUCGUUUACGUCUAUCGGUAACUUUACUUGAGGCUAUAUUUUUAUUCACCACAUGAUAUGUGUUUUGCUUGGAGCGUCUUGUAUGAUUUGAGUCUUUACUUUUUAGUUUGAUACAAUCAUCCUUGAUGUACACACCUUUUGAUAGGGACACGCAUGAAUCGUGAUUUAUUAGAAUAUUCUAUGUGCUUCACUUAUAUCUUUUGAGCUAGGCAAUUUUGCUCUAGUGCUUCACUUAUAUCUUUUUAGAGCACGACAAUGAUUUUAUUUUAUAGAAAUUGUCGAACUCUCAUGCUUCACUUAUAUUAUUUUGGAAAAUUCAAAAAACUUAUAUUAUUUUGAGAGUCUUUAAACAGCACGGUAACUUUCUUUGGUUAUAAAUUUAGUCCUAAUAUGAUAGGCAUCCAAGAGGGAUAUAAUAAAAACUUUCAUAUAAAGUGCAUUGAAUACUAUGAGAAGUUUGAUUCCUUAUGAUUGUUUUGAGAUAUAAAGAUGGUGAUAUUAGAGUCAUGCUAGUAAGUAAUUUUGAAUUUGAGAAAUACUCAUGUUAAAGUUUGUGAUUCCCGUAGCAUGCACGUAUGGUGAACCGUUAUGUGAUGAAGUCGGAGCAUGAUUUAUUUAUUUAUUGUCUUCCUUAUGAGUGGUGGUCGGGGACGAGCGAUGGUCUUCCUACCAAUCUAUCCCCCUAGGAGCAUGCGCGUAGUACUUCCUUUCGAUAACUAAUAGAUUUUUGCAAUAAUUAUGUGAGUUCUUUAUGACUAAUGUUGAGUCCAUGGAUUAUAUGCACUCUCACCCUUCCACCAUUGCUAGCCUCUCUAGUGCCGCACAACUUUCGCUGGUACCAUACACCCACCAUAUACCUUUCUCAAAACAGCCACCAUACCUACCUAUUAUGGCAUUUCCAUAGCCAUUCCGAUAUAUAUUUCCAUGCAACUUUCCACCAUUCCAUUUAUUAUGACACGUUCCAUCAUUGUCAUACUGCUUUGCAUGAUUAUGUAGUUGACAUCGUAUUUGUGGCAAAGCCACCGUUCAUAAUUCUUUCAUACAUGUCGCUCUCGAUUCAUUUCACAUCCCGGUACACCGCCGGAGGCCUUCAUAUAGAGUCAUAUUUUGUUCUAAGAAUCGAGUUGUAAUUCUUGAGUUGUAAGUAAAUAAAAGUGUGAUGAUCUUCAUUAUUAGAGCAUUGUCCCAUGUGAGGAAAGGAUGAUGGAGACUAUGAUUCCCCCACAAGUCGGGAUGAGACUCCGAACGAAAAAAAGAGGCCAAAAAAUGAGAGAAGGCCCAAAUGAAAAAAUGAGAGAAAAGAGAGAAGGGACAAUCUUACUAUCUUUUUACCACACUUGUGCUUCAGAGUAGCACCAUGAUCUUCAUGAUAGAGAGUCUCCUAUGUUGUCACUUUCAUAUACUAGUUGGAAUUUUUCAUUAUAGAACUUGGCUUGUAUAGUCCAAUGAUGGGCUUCCUCAAAUUGCCCUAGGUCUUUGUGAGCAAGCGAGUUGGAUGCACACCCACUUAGUUUCUUUUUGAGCUUUCAUACACUUAUAGCUCUAGUGCAUCCGUUGCAUGGCAAUCCCUACUCACUCACAUUGAUAUCUAUUGAUGGUCAUAUCCAUAUCCCGUUGAUACGCCUAGUUGAUGUGAGACUAGCUCCCUCGUUUUGUCUUCUCCACAGCCACCAUAUUCUAUUCCACCUAUAGUGCCAUGUCCAUGGCUCACGCUCAUGUAUUGCGUGAACGUUAAAAAAGUUUGAGAACAUCAAAAGUAUGAAACAAUUGCUUGGCUUGUCAUCGGGGCUAUGCAUGAUUUAAAUAUUUUGUGUGAUGAAGAUGGAGCAUAGCCAGACUAUAUGAUUUUGUAGGGAUAAGCUUUAUUUGGCCAUGUUAUUUUGAGAAGACAUAAUUGCCUUGUUAGUAUGCUUGAAGUAUUAUUGUUUUUAUGUCAAUAUUAAUCUUUUCUUUUGAAUAUUAUGGAUCUAAACAAUCAUGCCAAAAUAAUGAAAUUACACGGAUAAAUAUGUUGGGUAACAUUCCACAUCAAAAAUUCUGUUUUUAUCAUUUACCUACUCGAGGACGAGUAGGAAUUAAGCUUGGGGAUGCUUGAUACGUCUCCAACGUAUCUAUAAUUUUUUAUUGUUCCAUGCUAUUAUAUUAUCUGUUUUGGAUGUUUUAUAUGCAUUAAUAUGCUAUUUUAUAUUAUUUUUUGGACUAACCUAUUAACCUAGAGCCCAGUGCCAGUUUUUUUCUUCAUGUUUUUGAGUUUCACGGAAUAGGAAUACCAAAGAGAGUCGAAAUGGAAUGAAACCUUCGUGAUGAUUUUUCUUGGACCAGAAGACAACCAGGAGACUUGGAGAUGAAGUCGGAGAAGCCACGAGGAAGCCACAAGGACGGAGGGCGCGCCCAGGGGGUAGGGCGCGCCCCCACCCUUGUGGCUCCCCAUGACUCUCCUGACCUAAUUCUUUCUCCUAUAUAUAUUUCCAAAUAUCCCCAAACCACCAUAGGGAGCCACGAAAACACUUUUCCACCACCCCAACCUUCUGUACCCGUGAGAUCCCAUCUAGGGACCUUUCCCGGCAUCCUGUCGGAGGGGGAUUCGAUCACGAAAGGCUUCUACAUCAACUCUAUUGCCCUUCCGAUGAAACAUGAGUAGUUUACUACAGACCUACGGGUCCAUAGCUAGUAGCUAGAUGGCUUAUUCUCUCUCUUUGAUUCUCAAUACAAUGUUCUCCUCGAUGUUCUUGGAGAUCUAUUUGAUGUAAUACAUUUUUGAGGUGUGUUUGCCGAGAUCCAAUGAAUUGUGGAUUUAUGAUCAGCUUAUCUAUGAAUAUUAUUUGAAUCUUAUCUGAAUUCUUUUAUGCAUGAUUUGAUAUAUUUGUAAUUCUCUUCAAACUAUCGGUUUGGUUUGGCCAACUAGAUUGCUUUUUCUUGUAAUGGGUGAAGUGCUUAUCUUUGGGUUCAAUAUUGCGGUGUCCUUUCCCAGUGACAGUAGGGGCAGCAAGGCACAUAUUGUAUUGUUGCCAUCGAGGAUAAAAAGAUGGGGUUUUCAUCAUAUUGCUUGAGUUAAUUCCUCUACAUCAUGUCAUCUUUCUUAAUGCAUUACUCUAUUCUUUAUGAACUUAAUACUCUAGAUGCAUCUUGGAUAGUGGUCGAUGUUUGGAGUAAUAGUAGUAGAUGAAGAAUUGUUUUGGUCUACUUGACACUGACAUGAUGCCUAUAUUCAUGAUCAUUGCCUUAGAUAUCGCCAUAACUUUACGCAUUUCUAUCAAUUGCUCGGCAGUAAUUUGUUCACCCACCGUAUUAUUUGCUAUCUUGAGAGAAGCCUUGCCCCCCGGGUUUAGUUUCCAUCAUAUAAGUUUCCGAUCUACAAUAUUAGUUUCCGAUCUAGUAUUUUGCAAUCUUUUACUUUCCGAUCUAUAAACCAAAAAUACCAAAAAUAUUUACUUUACCAUUUAUCUAUCUCUACCAGAUCUCACUUUUGCAAGUAACUGUGAAGGGAUUCACAACCCCUUUAUCGCGUUGGGUGCAAGUUGUUUGAUUGUUUGUGCAGGUAUUCGGUGAUUUGUGCGUUGUCUCCUACUGGAUUGAUACCUUGGUUCUCAAACUGAGAGAAAUACUUAUCUCUACUUUGCUGCAUCACCCUUUCCUCUUCAAUGGAAAAACCAACGCAAGCUCAAGAAGUAGCAGGAGCCUCGACAGACUUAAAGUCAACCUGAAAUGUCGUUUAAUUAUCUUUCUACAAAAUCGUGCGACUCGAUAUUUCCUACAUAUUCUAGCACAAGUCAUGCCAAAAUUCACAGAAAAAUCCGGCAUGACCUUUGCUAAAAAGGACAUAUAUCGAGCGCCUGAAAUUUGCCGAAAUGGAAAUUAAUCAACACUCUGGCAAAACAUAGGCCGCACUGUGAGGUGUUCCCUGCAAACAUGGGCCACUCAUGUAGCUACUACUCUACUACAACUAUCAAAACAUCUACAUCAUCAUCGACAUGGGGAUAGUGCUCUUUCUCACCUCGAGAUCGGAGGUGGUCGGUGACGGGGACGACGGCAGGGAUGAUGCAGGGGCUCCUUGAUUUCUACAAAAACAAAAUAUAUACAAAAAUAUUAUUAUCCUCAUCUUAGGACUUAGUCAAACCCUAUGUCUAAAACAUCCUACUUCUAGCCCUACCAUUUACUCAAAAUACCUUGUUCUAACCCUAAAAAUUGAAAAGACAUAUAUACAUUUACUAAAGAUACCCUAGUUCUAGCCCUAACAUCUGUCCAUCCAUCCAUCUAUCUAUAUAUCCUCAUAAAUCCUAGAAAAAUGCACUAGUUUUUUUAACUACUGUCUACUUCUUGAAUCAUAGAAAAAUGCCCUAAUUUCACAUAACUUAGAAAAAUUCCUAUUCUAUUCAAAAGACCUACAUUUACUUAUUUUAUUCAAUUCUAUUCAGAAAACCUACAUUUACUAAAAUAGUCUCAUAUAGCAUAAUAUAUUCUGUACCUAAAAAUUUCUAUUACUAAAAAAUUUUAUACCUAAAUUUUUAUACAAAGAGAGGAGGGCAGUGGGAGGAGGAGGAGGAGGGAGUAGUGAGGGGUUCGAGUGGUUGGGGAAGGGAGGAGAGAGGAGGACAGUGGGAGGAGGGAGGAGGGAGCAGGGAGCAGGUGAGGGAGGAGCGAGGGACGCCGGUGCGCGGAGGGAGGAGAGAGGAGGGCCGUGGGAGGAGGGAGAGAGGAGGGCGGCAAGAGGAGGAGGGAGGGAGGCAGAUACCUUGGGGGCGACGACACGCGACGGGGUGGGCGAGUGAGAGUGUGAGGGGGAGAGUGAGGACGUGCGUGGGCCGGGGUGUGGAUAAGGUACCCGUAGUAGUAGCACUGGUCCACAACCACCACUACUGCUAAGAUCCAUAGUAGUAGGGCUUUAAUGUAAAAAGCGCUACUGCUAUGAUCAUUAGUAGUAGCAUUUUUGUGGAACCAACACUACUACUAAGGCUAUGAUCAUUAGCAUGUAAAAAGCAUCAAAUUAAAAAAACAUUGGUCAUCAUUGAUCUUUUUUGCGUAGAAUCUAAAUUGUCAGUAUGAAUCUUUGCCAGUUUAGGAACCUGCGAAGAUUCAUAUUGCUACAAAUCCUACACAUAGAGUACAAUGAAGACCAAGUGGUUGUGAUAGUUUGAGGAGCACCAUAUUUAAGGUGGUAAACAUUCUGUUCGCGGAGCGAGGUGGGACUAAACAUUGGUCUUAGGAGGGGACUGAAUUUAGCAGUAGCGAUGGUUAUAGGAAAGCGCUAUUGCUAUGUACAAUAGCAGUAGCGCUUUUUACAAUGAGCGCUACUAGUAUACCUAGCCUGCCUGCAACGGUCUGGUAAUUAUAGUAGUAGCGUGUUUUAUAAAAAGCGCUACUGGUGAGCUCCUGUGUAUAAGCAUUUCCUUAGUAGUGUUAAGGUACUUAAGUGUUUUAUUGUUGGUAUGGAUAACAAAUUCAUGUGGGCCAAGAUAAUGUUCCCACUCACGCAAAACUCGCACUAAAGCAUAUAGCUCUUUAUCAUAGAUGGUAUAAUUGAGUUGCACCGUGGGAAGUUUCUCACUAAAGUAAGCUAUGGGGCACUUCUCUUGCAUUAACACACCUCUUAUGCCAUUACCGCUAGCAUCACAAUGAACUUCGAAGUUUUGCCAAAAUUGGGUAAUGCAAGCACGGGAGCAUGAGUAAGAAAUUUUUUAAGUUCGUUAAAUGCAGUAUCUUGGGAUGGUCCCCAAACAAAAGGUGCAUUCUUAUUACUCAAGGCAUGCAAGGGAUAUGCAAUGGUGCUAAAAUCCUUAAUGAAUCGAUGAUAGAAACUGCUAAACCAAGGAAACUUCACACUUGUUGCAAAUUGGAUGGUUGUGGCCAAGUUUUAAUAGCAUCUAUCUUAGAUUCAUCUACAUGAACACCCUUAGAAGAUAUGACGAAACCCAAGAAAGCAAGCUUAUCAACACCAAAAAGGCAUUUGUCCAUAUUAGCAUAAAGACACUCUUUUCUAAGAGUUUGCAAAACCGUUCUAAGAUGGGUGACAUGAUCUUUAAGAGAUUUGCUAAAUACAAGAAUAUCGUCAAAGUAGACCACAACAAAUACACCAAUGUAUGGCCUAAGAACAAAAUGCAUGACUCAUAUGAAAGUACCGGGUGAUUUGGAUAAGCCCAUUGGCAUAACAAGCCAUUCAUAUAAGCCAAAUUUGGUUUUAAAUGUAGUUUUCCAUUAAUCACCUUCUUGUAUGUGGAUUUGGUAAUAGCCACUCUUAAGAUCAAUCUUAGAGAAAAGGGUGGCUCCGCUAAGCUCAUCUAGCAUAUCAUCUAGGCAUGGAAUGGGGCAAUGAUAACGCACGGUGAUAGCAUUGAUAGGACGAAAAUAGGAACACAUACGAUAUGUACCAUCUUUCUUGGUAACAAGGAUUACCGGGACGGCACAAGGGCUCAAACUUUCACGUACAUGGACGUUGUCGAUGAGUUGUACUUGCCAUUGGAUCUCCUUGGUUUCCUCGGGGUUGAUGCGGUAGGGGGCCUUGUUAGGAAGAGGUGCUCCAGGGAUGAGGUCGAUGCGUUGUUCGAUGCCUCGGAGUGGAGGUGACCCGGAUGUAGCUCGUCGGGAAAUACAUCUUGUAAUUCCUGUAAGAGAGAAGAUAAGACUAAAGGUUGAUUGUGAGAGGUGUUAGUUUUUGGUGCCUCGUCCUUGCACAAAAAGGACAUAGCGCAUGACACUUCAUGGGUUAUCACACACAUCUCUCAUCUCACUUUUGGUGGCAAAUAGUACUAAGUUUUUCUUGUCGCUCAUCGUGGAGGCACUCAAUUUGGGCUUGUGGCGCUCACUCUCUUUUGGGUGAUUCGCUCUCUCACUAUUCUCUCCAUAAUGGGUGGCUUUCUUGUCGGCGAUCACUUGACUUGGUGACAUAGGUCGUAGGACGUACUCCUUUCCCUUCAUCUUGAAGCUAUAGUGAUUGGUUCGCCUGUUGUGGAUGACGCCUAGGUCAAAUUGCCAUGGUCGUCCAAGGAGGAUGUGGCAAAAGGGUAUUGGAACGACAUCACACUCCAAAGUGUCUUCAUAUGCUCCUAUCUUGAAGGAAACUUGCACCAUGUGCUCCACUUGAAUAGUGUCGGAGUCGCUUAACCAUUGGACCUUGUAGGGAUGCGGGUGCUUCUUCAUCUUAACUAAUUGGAGCUUGGAGCAUAGUUCUUCACUUUCCAAGUUAUGGCAACUCCCUCCAUCGAUGAUGACCUUCACGGACCUUCCAUUGAUGCUCGCCUUGGUGUGGAAGAUAUGGUAUCUUUGAUCUUCUUCUUGUUGAUGUUGAAGUGUCCAGACCUUGGAGACAACGAGAGCAAGGCUCAAAUCUUCAUCACAAAAGACUUGAUCAUCUUCAUCCUCAUUCACGCGUCGGUGCAUGUCCACUUGAUCGAGGGCUUCCAUCUCCUCUUCACUCAUGGAGUCAUAUGUUUCGUCGUCGUUAAGGAUCAUGGUGCGCUUGUCGGUACACUCAAAUGACUUGUGGCCUCGGCGGCCACAUGUGAAACACUUGAUUUAACUUGUCUUGAUGAUCUCAUCCAGUGAAGUUGUAGAUGAUGAAGCUCUUGGCUUGAAGUUGCUUGUAGUAGGAGGACGGCUAGAGGAUGUCGAAGUUUUCUUGUAACUUGACAUGUCGCCGUUGCUUGUGUAAGGUUUGUUGAGGUAGAAGGUGUUGGAGUCGUUGAAGCUUGGGUUGCAUCAUGUUUACCUAUUGUUAUUUGUAACAUCCCAAAUUUUCAAUUUGGAAUGUUAUACACUAGAUCAUCAUUGCAUAUCAUAUUUUAUUUGCAUUUUGGUUGAUCCUAGAAAUUCUACGCAACUCAAGGACCCUCGGAGAUAGUUGGGGAUUUCGUUAUUUUCAUAUUUGAGCUUUCUCAAAUUUUGAAAAUAGGAUCAUUUGAUUUUAUUUAUUUUAUCUUCAAUUAUUUCUAUUAUCAAACUAUGAGAGAGGGAAUAAAAUGACUUUCCCAAAACAAAGAAAUAUUGAGGAUUUAAUAAUAAAAUCAAAUAAGAUUUUAUUUUGGUUUUAUUUGCUAUUUUAUUUGAAUUUAGGAAAAAUGCCCGUUUUACAAAAUUGCAUUUAGGCUCCAAAUAAAUGUUCAUCCUGUGCGGCUUGAUUUUAGAAGCCGGGGAAAAUUUAUUUCGGGAUUUUUGGAGUCCGUUUAGUAUUCCUUUUGUUUAUUUUCUCGGCGUAAUUAUUUUUAAAAAAGUCCGAACCGACCUUGGCCCGUGUCCGGCCAGGACUCCGCCUGGCCGGGGGAGGGCGGGGGGGCUUUAUAUAGCCGCGCCCCGGGCCGCCCCAGCCCAAGCCGCGCCCCGCCCGCAAACCCUAGCCGCCGCCUGCCGCCGCCGGAGUUCGCCGCCGACGAGGUCAAGCCGCCCCGGUUUUUUUUAGAAAACCGUUGGUUUUCACCGUUUUUUUGGUUUUUUUGAUUCAUUUUUUUAGAUGGAUCGGUUUUUUCUCAGUUUAGUUAAUUAGCGAGCAUUCGCUCGUUCGUUCGUUUUAACGAGCGCGUUCAUCGUUUAGAUCCAGAUAACGAAUGUUCGUUCGUUAAUAUGUUCGUCGUUUUUCUUUUUCUCGGAUUAAAUCCGCGAUUUUUCUGAUCGCGAUUUCUGAUCCAAUUUUCGUUCUAGUAUAACUUUUCGCUCGUUUAUCUGAAUCAGGCGAUUCAAGCGCCUGGAGUUUCGUCUCGAAACCCUCUUUCCGUUUAAUCAACUCAAACAAGUUUUUGCCUUUGUAAAAUUUGACCUAGAUCCAGAAUAGUAAACGAAGCCUGUUUCUUUUGCCGUUUGUCUUUCGUUGCUUCGUUCGUUUUGAUUCUUUUUGCCAACCGGAGUUCUUAAGUUGAACUAUCUGGUUAGAUCUCUUAUUCGAGUUUUACCUGUGCAUUAGUUGAGUACUUAUUGUAUGCUUGUUUGUUCGCGAUAGAGUACCCGGAGUGCGCCGCUUGCUACUUUGAAUCGCUAGGUUUCACGGAUUAUCAGCAAGGCAAGUAACACUUUGAUCAUACCUCUUGCUACCCAGUUUUUAUUGCAUUAGAUCAACCCUCACACAUUGCAUGUUUAGGAUCUAAUUAAAUUAUGGGUUUGGGAAGUAGAUGAGGUAGUACCUAUCACCUGUUUUAUUAUCAAACCUUUGGGAGUUACUUCUACGAUUGCUUAUUAUGCCAUGCUAUGCUAGUAGACGUGGAUUGGGUGAGUGAAAUCCAUGACAGAUGUGAGUUUGUUAAAUUAAUGGUUUAUCUAAGGUGGCAACUUAAACACACAUCUGGGUGGAUUGAGGCACCUGGGUAUUCCAGCGAUUGCCUGUUUUUCUUUUGGACUGCCACCCAGGCUCAAAGGGAUCAUGAGAUUAUUCAUGCUAGAAACUUCCGUGUGCAGCCACAAGCUACUAUGGGCUCUAGCAUAGUUGAUUAAGUCGUGUGAACUCUUACAAUGGUAGACUAGCAGAUAUAGGGGAAAGUAGGUGUAACGGUCUACCCGUUCGUAAGGUGUGAGCGCUUCUGAAAGACUAUGUCUCGGUGUAGCGACCCGACCCGAAUGGGUCAAGUCUCUGUGCUUAAGUGUCAUCCCUGGAUCGGUAUGCUGACACACACAGUACUCGAGGAUUUAUAACAGAGGUAAAUCACAUGUAAAAGUAACGUAAAUACUAUUACCUCAAAUCCAAAAUAGUGGAAGUAACAAGGUUGUGGAUUCGCAUCAACACCAACGGCAAAGUUAAGUGUAGAAAUCGUAACCCUAACGUACCACUUACUCGUCGUAAGAUAAUCCUGCAACAUGAGACGUUGCAGCCACAGAGGGUCAGUACAUUGAAUGUACUGGCAAAUUCACACCAUAGAGAAUGAUGAAUAAAGGCUAUCACUACAUGCAUAUUUGGCUGGUGGAAAAGCUCUAUGGUUAUAAGGUUUUUGCGAAAAGCCAAUUUUUCCCUACUGCAAAGGAAUACAUUUUAAUUAACUAUCAUGGUGGUUGUUGAACAUUGAGAAUGGUUGACAUCAUUCUCAAUCCCAAUUAAGUAACAUCAUUAAACCCAACAAUAUUCAUUUAAAGUAACGUGAUGAGAUCAACAGGAUAAUCCAAGAACUAGAUACUCAAGACGUCCAUAACCGGGGACACAGCUAAUCUUGAUUAGUUUAUACACUCUGCAGAGGUUUGCGCACUUUUCCCCACAAGACUCGAUCUCCUCCGUUGGUUUUCUCGCACUACAUGGUGUUUGAGAAACGGAUGACCGAGACAUAGCCUUUCAGAAGCGCUAGCACCUUAUGUUGGAUAGACCGGUACACCUACUUUCCCCUACAUCUGCUAGUCUACCCUGUAAGAGUUCGCACGACUUAAUCAACUAUGCCAGAGCCCAUAAUGGCUUGUGGCUGCACACGGAAGUUUCUAGUAUGAAUAAUCUCAUGAUCCCUUUGAGCCUGGGUGGCGGACAGUAGGAUGAUCACACGGUAUAUCCCCGGGAUCUCCUAGGACAACACUGGUAUAUCCCUAGGUGUUUGGGAAAGUCCACUGGUAUAUCCCCAGGGUGCCCCUAGCAAUCCACCCAGAUGUGUAUUCAAGUUGCCACCUUAAGUUGAACCAUUAAAUAACAAUCUCACAUCUGUCAUGGAUUUCACUCAUACCCAAACCACGUCUACGAGCAUAGCAUGGCAAUAUAAGCAUAACGUAAAAGUAACUCCCAAGGUUUGAAUGCAGGGCAAUAGGUUCCUACCUCAUCAACUACUUCCCAAUACCCACAAUUUAAUUAGAUCCUAAUCAUGCAAUGUUUGAGGUUUGAUCUAAUGCAAUAAAAACUGGGUAUGAAAGAGGUAUGAUCAAAGUGUGAACUUGCCUGCAAUGUUGAUGAAGAUGAUUCACACUCAAAACUCUUGAUAGUUCUACUCGUCACACUCCGGUCAAUCUAUCGUAAGCAAGCAACAGUAACCACACAUAAGCAAUCACUCCAAAGAUCAGAAAGAACGAAGAAGACGAUUCGGAAACAUCAAAACCAAGCAAAUAACUCUUGCAAGAUAAAACAAUUUCUAACAGUACCAAAAUUAUGUGAAUUUGGCCUUAUUAGAAUGUUUAGGUCAAGAUCUUCGAUUUGCAAAAAGAAUCAACUCAAACGGAGCUACGAAACUCAAGUUAUGAUCAAACGAAGUUUGAAUUCAAAUCUGACCUAAUUUAAAUUUUAAACUUGUCAAAAACAUGUUUGAGUUGGAUUAAUGGAUAGAGGGGAUCAUAACGAAGACGUGGGCGUUGGUUUCGUUGGAUUUGGAUAAACGAGUAAAAAGAUGUGGUCGUUUGAAGUACAGGGACUAAUCUGUAAAUAAACUAUUCACAAACGGGUCCCUGGCCGAAAAAUAAAAAAGAAAAAAAAACUAAAUAACGAACGUUUGCUACCGAACGCUAAUGAACGAACCUGUUCACUGCAGAAGCUAACAUAGCGAAUGUUUACUAAUUAAAGAAAACGUUUCGUGGAAAAAAACAAAGCGAUCUGGAUCGUUGGAUCCAGAUCCGACGAUGAGGGAGGCGGCGGUUACCGCGGCGAUCGCCGGAGUUCGGGAAGACGGCGGCGGCGGCUUCGAACGGGGACGGGGCGGUGGCUCCGGUGGCUCUCCGGCUCGGGCGUCACCACCAGAUGGAGCGGGGCGACGAGGCGGAGACGAGGGAGGCGGCAGCUCCGGUCGAGGGCGACGGGACGGUGCGGGGCGACGGUGGCGGAUCUCGUCGGAGUUCGGUCUCCGGCGAGGUUUGUGCGAGGCUGCGGGAGGCGAUGGCGGCUCCGGUUGGAGGAAAAAGAGGCCGGGGUCCGGGCGGCUCUAUUUAUGGAGGAGAGGGGCGGCGAGAUGCGUGGAGGAGGGGGCAAGAAGAGGCCGGCGGUGGCACGGAGGCGACGGUGAUGGCGUCGCGGCUCGGGACUUAGUCCCGAGCUCGGGGACAAGCGGCAUGGGCUAGCUGGGCUAGGCCGCGGCCUGGCAGGAGCUGGGCCGGCCCAGUCGGUGAGGGAAGUUCUUUUUUUAAACAUUAUUUUCUAGACAAAUAAAAUAAUAAAAGCAAAAUAAUUAAAAAUAUUAUAUAGGCAUAUAAUAUAUCAAAAUUUUCAGAAAAAGAUUUUCUACGACAUGAACAUUUUUAUAACUUUAAAUAAAAUCCACAAAAAUUCAGAUAAAUCAAAGAGUGCUAGUGGUCUAUUAAAAUCCAACUAAAAUCAUUUUAAAAAAUACCAAAAUGAUUUCAACUUAAUUUUUCUCCAAUUUUAUAAUGUUGGGAAUCAUGUUACCCUAUUUUCCAUAUAUUUUAUUUUUGGAGAAAAAUAAUUUGAAUAAAACUCAAAUAAAUCCAAAUUGAAAAUUAAUUCCAAAAGGACUUGAAAUUGAUCCUUUGAAACUCCCAACUCAUAUUUCAUAAUUUGAAGAAGUCAUUUUAUCUUCUCUCAUGAAAAUCAUUGAGUUGCAUAAAGUUUAUGAAUUGGAAAAAUAUUUCCCAAUGGAAUUCAAAUAUUUUUCAAACACCCUUUUCAUUUUAAAUGGAAGAAGUCAUGUCAUCUUCUCUCUAGGGUUUUGUGUUGAAAAGAAUUUGAAUUCAUGGAGAUCAGAAAGCAAAUAUGAAAGUUUGGGAAAGUCCUUUUAUUCCCUCUCAUUUAACUUUCAAAAGUUUCGAAUUCACUCACUUUCAGAUAAUCAAUCAAACAAUCAAUCAAAUCUAUCUAUUUAUUAUAACAUUCCAAAAAUUAGAAUUUUGGGAUGUUACAAACCUACCACCCUUAAAAGGAAUCCCGUCCUCGAGAUUCGGAGAGGCUAGAAAGAAAUUGGUUAGGGUUUGGGGUCUUCUCAAAAUCCAUCGAUCAUCCCAGGGGUCUGGGGUGCUACCACCCUUAGAAGCAUGGUUACUGUUCCAUCAAAACUCAUAUACUCCAUUCUUAUUCUUGACAGUAUCGGUCUUCUCAGAUCCUCGAGAAAAUUCCUUCUCUGAGCUCUUCCGGUAGUGGCAUAACCUUUUCCUCAAUUCUUCUGUCUUUCAUCUAGGUAAGGUUAUUCCGAGACUGGGUCUUCUUAGCGGACGGGUCUGGCGCCAAUACUAAUCAACUAUCGACAUCUCAUGGUGGUCAACAAUUUAUGGUUUCUCCUGCAGGAAAUGGGUCUGGGUUGAUCCUCACCGUAUAACCUACGGUUGGCAAAAAGCUGCCGUGUAUAAGGGAAAAAUUCUUAUACCAUUCUAAGGUUUAACAAGGUUUAAUAUCGUCGUCUCUAGUCACUCAGAUUUACCAUCCCAUAUAGCAAGGCGAAUAAUAAGAGUAAGUCGAUAUGGUGAUCAAUCCAUCCCGCACCCAAAUCAUUACCCUGUAUAUGCUUUAGUGAAUCUUGCAUUCUAACACUCGGUCAUCCUCACAAGCAUUGCAGAAUUUCUCUUGUCAAUGAACUAAGUUCGGAUAAAUCCAUGGAUUCUGCAAGCCAAACAAUCAUCUAGCGUUCCUUCACCACUCUCAGGUUUGCGUAAACUCCUAUAAGAUCGUCUAUCGAUAAACGUCGUAUCUUCCUCUGGGGUUUUUCCUUCAGCAAGAGUGUGCUUGCUUCUUGGCAGGUCCUGGGGCCUGUGGGUUAUGGCCCAUCUCAUCACUUGUAGUCCUUGAACUUAUCAUUGGGCAAUUUAUCGUUAUUCCAACAUCCAACUUCCAGCUUCCUAGCAUACUUAGAAUCCAUCCAAUUGUAUUGUCUUUCUUCCUUCUAUUGGCAGCAAACUAGGACAUGAUUACUCAAACUCAUCAUGGAGUUUCCAUUGAUCCAUAUUUCCGACAUCAUACCUCCUUUAUAUCCAAUAGUAAUUCAUCUCUUCAUCCUCGUGGGAUAUCCCUCAUAUCGAGGUAAAAACUUAUACUUAUGAAGUACAUAUUCCACUUCGUGGAACAUCAUUAUCCUUUCCGGGGUCAAGUGUCCUUACAGGGGAAUAUUGGCCAUCUCUGCAUGGCACUCCUUCAACUAGGAAACGUGAAACACAUCUUGAACUCCUGACAGUCCUUCGGGUAACUCAAACUUGUAGGCCACUUCUCUCAUACGCUCCAAAACUCGGUAUGAUCCUACAAAUCUCGGGGCUAACUGUCCCUUAACUCCAAAUUGUUUAACUCCUCGCAGAGGGAUCACGCGAGACAUGCUCUGUCUCCAAUGUCAUAGACUACCUCCUUACGUUUUUAAGUCUGCAUAACUCUUCUACUUGGACUGAGCUACUUUCAGUCUAUCUCGAAUCAACUUAACAUUCUCUUCUGACUCCUUGAUCACAUUUGGUCCAAACAACUGACGGUCUCCAACUUCAUCCCACAUACUCUUGGGGCAUCACACAUAUCGAGACAAAACCCAUAUUCAUUUUAUCUGAAAUCCACUCAGUGGAGUAUCCUUAUCUUUUCCAGGGGUCAAUGGUUCUUACAGGGUACUACCACCCUUAAAAUGCACAAAUCUUCCAUAGACCAUAUUUCUCAUAUCCUCAGAAUGGCCAAAAUUCUUCUUCAUAGAGUAACAACUAAUAAAAUCCAUAUCAGUACUAACGAUGCUAAUUUAUUCAUUCUCAAGUGAUUACCAUCUCUCGCUUUUCCAUUGCAUGUCUCAACUCAACACCUCAAUAUAAAAGAAAAUUGUUCUCACUUCUACUACUCCAUUUCUUUUGUUGCAAACUCAACUAUCUAGCACAUGUUUCCUUCUCCUUGGGGCAUUCUCUGGAAAAGUGCCCUGCUCCAUUACCACUAAAACAUAUUACUUCUGACAAGUAUCGAGGUUUCCUUUUUGGGCAAUUGUUGAGGUAGUGCCCUGACUCCUUGCACCUGUAACAGGUGAUAUGACUUAGGUCCUUCCUGGAAUCCAAUCUGCUUCUCUUCCUGGACCUUUCCAUGCCAAUCAUGGCUUCUAUUUCUUGUGGGUCAUAUUCUACUUCCUUUGUCAGGAAUUCUACUAAAUCCCCAUUCAAACAAUUUUGGGAGAUGUGUCCUUCUUCUCCACAUGAAUAGCAAGACUUAGUGCAGGGUUUACUCGGGUCUUCUUUAGAUGUGUCCUCCAUCUCUUCCUUCAUCACAACUUCUUCUAAAAUUUCCAUGAGGGCUCCUUUCAUUACUUCUUUCUUCUGCUGGAUGGUUCGUUGUACCAUGGGGUAAAUGUGACACUGAGCAGGAUAGUGGGUAGUCCCUUCACAAAAGAAACAAGUAAUCUGCCUAAUUGGGCAUUCUUCAACUGGGUGACUUCCUUCGCAAUUAGGGCAUUCAUCCUUGUGUUCUUUAUGGGUGUGUCCUAUUUCUCCACAAAUCUUGCAUGCACAAGGUUUCUUCAUAUCCUUUCCAUAAGGCUUCAACUUCUGGGACACAAGCCGAGACUUUGGCAAAGUCAACUUAAAUUCUUUCCAAGUGGUUACUCCUUGCCAUCCAUUUAUGGUUUGGUACAUCCUCCACCAAGUAGCAGCACCUCUUUCAAAGCACUGAAGAGCAUGCUGGGUCAUAUCCUUUCCGACUAUAGGGUUAUUCUCCAUAUGAUCUUCCAUGUUCUGAAUCCAUCGGUCUGUCUCCAACUGACUCAUCGGUCCAGAAAAUACAAGCUCAUCUCCAUUAUCCUCUAUUGGGUCCAUGGGUUUGGGGUGAGAUAAGAGAUAUAGAGAGGGAUACACACAAUACAAACAAAAGUUUUGAAAAGACAUAUUUUAUUUGUGGCUGUCGGGAAAAGCAUCAAACAAAUGAGAGCUCACAAAUGUCGCAUCUAACGUAGGUAUAUAAUAGGGGUUUGGUCUUCCAAAGGUCAAUAAAUCUUCAACGUCUCCAAACUCUUCAAGUCUUGUUCAAGCCUCCAAUGGCUUCUUCCGAUGAUGCUUGUCCUUCUCAAGUUCUUUUGCCAAAUCAACUCUUAUGACGCGAAGUCUCUCAUGACGUCCUUUAAUAUUCUGGAGUUGCGUUCCAAACUUCUGGUUUCAACAUCCUUCGCAUGAACCGUGGUCCUACUGUCCUUCAGUUCCUGACAAAUCUCCGGUAUCUCGAGGUUGUAGCUCCUCCAGCUUGGCUACGUUCAGCUUUUGGUUCCUGAGUUCUUCAUGAAAUGCUUCCUUGUCUAAUACGGCUUCAUGGAGCUCCACCUUAAACUUCUUGAUGUACUACUCCAGAUCUUGGUGAUACACCAGCUAAGUUUAAAACUGCAUCCUUUGCUGAUAGAUGCUCCAUCAGCCUUCUACCAUCCAAUCCUUCCGAAGGAAUGCAUGCUUAGCUCAGCUCGGUGACCACAGUAUCAAUGGUGAUGACAUCACGGAUAACCGUGUUUCUGCCCUUGUCAUUGCCAUGAGCUAUCUUGCUAGUUGAUAUCUCCUGCCUUAGGGUUUUCUAGACAAAACUUUGAGUUCUCAACUCUCCAUGCUCCGGUCUUUCUCUGAUACACCUUGAUCUCGGGUAUGGACAACUUCCAUAGUCUGCCAAGUUCCAUAAGGGUAGCCUUCCUAGGUCAUAAAAAUCUGGAGAUUCUUUAGAGCCUUCAAAUUCUCCUAGUCUUCGGAGUCUUCAACCACUGUAGUUUCCAUUAUCAUAAUGCACGGUAAAAUCUUCUUCAUUCCGUAGUCGUCUUAGUUGUCCAAUAUCUUGUACUUCUUGAAGUGGUCUCAUCAGUCGAAUCUUCGAGUGGUCAAAGGGGAAAGGGGUAUAGUCUCACUAAAAGGGAAUUUUUGAAUAAGCUCAGAAGAGAGGUAAAAGAUUUUUUUUAAAGGGAAAGUUGUAGAGAAAAAAUCUUUGCUAUGGGCUUGCCAGUUUCUAGGGUCACGUCCUACAGUCAACAUGUGCUCUGAUACCAUCUUGUAGCGACCCGACCCGAAUGGGUCAAGUCUCUGGGCUUAAGUGUCAUCCCUGGAUCGGUAUGCUGACACACACAGUACUCGAGGAUUUAUAACAGAGGUAAAUCACAUGUAAAAGUAACGUAAAUACUAUUACCUCAAAUCCAAAAUAGCGGAAGUAACAAGGUUGUGGAUUCCCAUCAACACCAACGGCAAAGUUGAGUGUAGAAAUCAUAACCCUAACGUAUCACUUACUCGUCGUAAGAUAAUCCUGCAACAUGAGACGUUGCAGCCAUAGAGGGUCAGUACAUUGAAUGUACUGGCAAAUUCACACCAUAGAGAAUGAUGAAUAAAGGCUAUCACUACAUGCAUAUUUGGCUGGUGGAAAAGCUCUAUGGUUAUAAGGUUUUUGCGAAAAGCCAAUUUUUCCCUACUACAAAGGAAUACAUUUUAAUUAACUAUCAUGGUGGUUGUUGAACAUUGAGAAUGGUUGACAGCAUUCUCAAUCCCAAUUAAGUAACAUCAUUAAACCCAACAAUAUUCAUUUAAAGUAACGUGAUGAGAUCAACAGGAUAAUCCAAGAACUAGAUACUCAAGACGUCCAUAACCGGGGACACGGCUAAUCAUGAUUAGUUUAUACACUCUGCAGAGGUUUGCGCACUUUUCCCCACAAGACUCGAUCUCCUCCGUUGGUUUUCUCGCACUACAUGGUGUUUGAGAAACGGAUGACCGAGACAUAGCCUUUCAGAAGCGCUAGCAGCUUACGUUGGAUAGACCGGUACACCUACUUUCCCCUACAUCUGCUAGUCUACCCUGUAAGAGUUCGCACGACUUAAUCAACUAUGCCAAAGCCCAUAAUGGCUUGUGGCUGCACACGGAAGUUUCUAGUAUGAAUAAUCUCAUGAUCCCUUUGAGCCUGGGUGGCGGACCGUAGGAUGAUCACACGAUAUAUCCCCGGGAUCUCCUAGGACAACACUGGUAUAUCCCCAGGUGUCUGGGCAAGUCCACUGGUAUAUCCCCAGGGUGCCCCUAGCAAUCCACCCAGAUGUGUAUUCAAGUUGCCACCUUAAGUUGAACCAUUAAAUAACAAUCUCACAUCUGUCAUGGAUUUCACUCAUACCCAAACCACGUCUACGAGCAUAGCAUGGCAAUAUAAGCAUAACGUAAAAGUAACUCCCAAGGUUUGAAUGCAGGGCAAUAGGUUCCUACCUCAUCAACUACUUCCCAAUACCCACAAUUUAAUUAGAUCCUAAUCAUGCAAUGUUUGAGGUUUGAUCUAAUGCAAUAAAAACUGGGUAUGAAAGAGGUAUGAUCAAAGUGUGAACUUGCCUGCAAUGUUGAUGAAGAUGACUCGCACUCAAAACUCUUGAUAGUUCUACUCUUCACACUCCGGUCAAUCUAUCGUAAGCAAGCAAUAGUAACCACACAUAAGCAAUCACUCCAAAGAUCAGAAAGAACGAAGAAGACGAUUCGGAAACAUCAAAACCAAGCAAAUAACUCUUGCAAGAUAAAACAAUUUCUAACAGUACCAAAAUUAUGUGAAUUUGGCCUUAUUAGAAUGUUUAGGUCAAGAGCUUCGAUUUGCAAAAAGAAUCAACUCAAACGGAGCUACGAAACUCAAGUUAUGAUCAAACGAAGUUUGAAUUCAAAUCUGAUCUAAUUUAAAUUUUGAACUUGUCAAAAACAUGUUUGAGUUGGAUUAAUGGAUAGAGGGGAUCAUAACGAAGACGUGGGCGUUGGUUUCGUUGGAUUUGGAUAAACGAGUAAAAAGAUGUGGUCGUUUGAAGUAUAGGGACUAAUUUGUAAAUAAACUAUUCACAAACGGGUCCCUGGCCGAAAAAUAAAAAAGAAAAAGAAAAAAACUAAAUAACGAACGUUUGCUACCGAACGCUAAUGAACGAACCUGUUCACUGCAGAAGCUAACAUAGCGAACGUUUACUAAUUAAAGAAAACGUUUCGUGGAAAAAAACAAAGCGAUCUGGAUCGUUGGAUCCAGAUCCGACGACGAGGGAGGCGGCGGUUACCGCGACGAUCGCCGGAGUUCGGGAAGACGGCGGCAGCGGCCUCGGACGGGGACGGGGCGGCGGCUCCGGUGGCUCUCCGGCUCGGGCGUCACCACCAGAAGGAGCGGGGCGACGAGGCGGAGACGAGGGAGGCGGCAGCUCCGGUCGAGGGCGACGUGACGGUGCGGGGCGACGGCGGCGGAUCUCGUCGGAGUUCGGUCUCCGGCGAGGUUUGUGCAAGGCUGCGGGAGGCGAUGGCGGUUCCGGUUGGAGGAAAAAGAGGCCGGGGUCCGGGGCGGCUCUAUUUAUGGAGGAGAGGGGCGGCGAGAUGCGUGGAGGAGGGGGCAAGAAGAGGCCGGCGGCGGCACGGAGGCGACGGUGAUGGCGUCGCGGCUCGGGACUCCGUCUCGAGCUCGGGGACGAGCGGCAUGGGCUAGCUGGGCUGGGCCGCGGCCUGGCAGGAGCUGGGCCGGCCCAGUCGGUGAGGGAAGUUCUUUUUUUUUAAACAUUAUUUUCGAGACAAAUAAAAUAAUAAAAGCAAAAUAAUUAAAAAUAUUAUAUAGGCAUAUAAUAUAUCAAAAUUUUCAGAAAAAGAUUUUCUACGACAUGAACAUUUUUAUAACUUCAAAUAAAAUCCACACAAAUUCAGAUAAAUCAAAGAGUGCUACUGGUCUAUUAAAAUCCAACUAAAAUCAUUUUAAAAAAUACCAAAAUGAUUUCAAAUUAAUUUUUCUCCAAUUUUAUAAUGUAGGGAAUCAUGUUACCCUAUUUUCCAUAUAUUUUAUUUUUGGAGAAAAAUAAUUUGAAUAAAACUCAAAAAAUCCAAAUUGAAAAUUAAUUCCAAAAGGACUUGAAAUUGAUCCUUUGAAACUCCCAACUCAUAUUUCAUAAUUUGAAGAAGUCAUUUUAUCUUCUCUCAUGAAAAUCAUUGAGUUGCAUAAAGUUUCUGAAUUGGAAAAAUAUUUCCCAAUGGAAUUCAAAUAUUUUUCAAACACCCUUUUCAUUUUAAAUGGAAGAAGUCAUGUCAUCUUCUCUCUAGGGUUUUGUGUUGAAAAGAAUUUGAAUUCAUGGAGAUCAGAAAGCAAAUAUGAAAGUUUGGGAAAGUCCUUUUAUUCCCUCUCAUUUAACUUUCAAAAGUUUCGAAUUCACUCACUUUUAGACAAUCAAUCAAACAAUCAAUCAAAUCUAUCUAUUUAUUAUAACAUUCCAAAAUUUAGAAUUUUGGGAUGUUACACUUGGUCAUCCAUUUCUCAAACACCAUGUAGUGCGAGAAUCCCAACAGAGGAGAUCGAGUCUUGUGGGGAAAAGUGCGCAAACCUCUGCAGAGAGUAUAAACUAAUCAUGGUUAGCCGUGUCCCUGGUUAUGGACAUCUUGAGUAUCUAGUACUUGGAUUAUCAUAUGAAUCUCAUCAUGUUACUAUAAUUAAUUUGUUGGGUUUUAUUAAUGAUGUGUAAUUGGUAUUGAGAGAGUGUCUACACUCUCAAUGUUUAACAACCACCAUGGUAGUUAAAUAAAAUUUAUUCCUUUGCAGUAGGGAAUAAUUGGCUUUACGCAAAACUGUAACCAUAGAGCUUUCCACCAGCCAAAUAUGCAUGUAGUAUAGCCUUAUUCUUUCAUUGCUCUCUAUGUGUUACAUUGCCAGCAUAUUCCAUGUGCUGACCCGUUUCGGGCUGCAACGUUCAUGUUGCAGACUUUUCAGAUGAUGUGUAAGGUGCUUUUAGGUCGUGGUUCUAUACUCAGUGAUGCCGUUGGAGUUGAUGGACUCACUUAUCUUCCAAGCCUUCCGCUGUUAUUGUUAUUAGAUGGCCUUAAGCCAUAUUUAUUGUAAUAAGUUCUCUUUUGAGACUCGAUGUAAUAAGUGUGUGAUUGCUACUCUGUUAUAAAUCCUUCAAGUACUGUGUGGUGUCAGCAUUACUGAUCCAGGGAUGACACCGGAGCACAGAGAUUGGACCGUUUGAGGUCUGGUUGCUACAAGAUGGUAUCAGAGCACACGCUGACUGUAGAACACGACCACUAAGCUAAAGCCCUAGAUCACUACUCACUCUUCUCAUUCUGAAUCCUCAUCUUUUCUACUCUUUUAGGAUGGUAGAUGCAAGGAACAAGUUCACGCAACUGGAUGAAGAUACACCCUUUGGACGUCACUUAAAGGAAGUCACUAGAUACCUGAACAUAGGAGUACCAAGCUUCACCGAGACUCACAACGCCAUUUUACCUGAAGAAGAGCGCUGGAUGAUUCAAGUUCAAGUUCCAGGAAGGACGUUCAUGCCAGUCACUGAGCCCAUAGAGUUUUCUUUUGACGCACCAACCUGGAGUCUAGGAAAGAGCAUGGCAGCUCACAUCGCCAUGGGACGCAUUGGAGAAGUUUACCACAAUGAUCUCAAGGAUACUAUCUACCAGAUUUGUGGGCGCCGAGAUGAGCACUGGGAGAUGAUCAGCACCAGGAAGGAUAGAUCAAUUGCAGCUUUUAUCUAGGAGUUAAACCAGCACAUUCGACAUCACGAGAACCAGAUGUGCGCCGACAUGAUAGAUCUGAAGAAGGCAAGGACAAGAAUCAAGGAACUGGAGGAAGAACUCAAGGCUACCCGUGAAGAUUAUGAAGAGGAAAUCGAAGUAUUAGUGGAGAAGAAUGACGAUCUGAUCAAGAAGAUUGGAAUAUUUAUGGGAGGCCCUGCACCAGUAGAAGAAGACGAAGAACCCAAGGAGAUUCGCCCGGAAGACUACAUCAUCAUCGACGACACCGACUCGCAUCCGGAUGAUAGCGAUGAUGACUAUGUUGAUGAAGCUGGAGCAAAUAUCAUGGAGUCUGCAACCGAAGAAUAUUUCUAGUAGACCACCCCAUUAGUAGUAGUAUUCCACCAUGUAAAUAUAGUAGUCCAAGCACUUUUGCGAUAGUUAGAUCGAUUGUAUGCUCUUGUUUGAUUGAAUGAAGUGAAUUGUUUGCUUUUGCCUCAUGUGCAUAUGGGUAGUGUUUGCUCUCUAGACCCCUCUCUAUUCUUAAUCUCAUCUUUUGUAAACCCUUAGAUACCUCCGUGACGUGACCCCGGAUUUACCUUCCCACUAGAGCUCACCCAGUUGAUCCAGCAGCAGAACACAUUGAUGCAGAUGCUAGUCCAGAAUCAGAAUCAGGAGAACAACAACAACAACCCACCACCACCACCACCUGUUGAUCACUUAGCCCGUUUUCUUAGGCUAAAUCCGCCGGUGUUUUCCAGUAGCACCGAGCCGAUAGUAGCAGAUGAUUGGCUCCGCAAGACAGCAAGGGAGUUGACCACAGCAGGAUGCACAGAUGCGGAAAAGGUGAAGUUUGUCGCACAUCAGCUUGAAGGACUCGCAACAUCAUGGUGGGAGAAUUUCACCGCCACUUUCCCUAUUGACACUGUCACAUGAGACCAGUUCCAGCAGGCUUUCCGUACUACCCAUGUUUCAGCAGGAGCUAUGGCCAUGAAGAAGUGAGAGUUUCACAACUUGCACCAAGGAGGAUGGACAGUUGGCCAGUAUGUGGAGGACUUUAGUAAGCUAGCACGUUAUGCCCCAGAUGACGUUGCUACGGAUGCAGCUAAGCAGGGGAAGUUUCUGGAAGGACUGAAUGAUGAGUUGAGCAUGCAGUUGAUGGUAGCAACCUUCAACAACUACCAGGAGUUGGUAGAUCGUGCUCUCAUGAUUGAAGGGAAGCAACAUCAGAUUGAGAAUUGCAAGAGGAAGUAUGGCCAAGGAAAGUACAAUUCAGGAGCUCAAGAGAAGCCACGUUUUACCCCUAGACUGGGAAGUCAUUUUCAGCAUACCCAUGGAGGAAGUAGCUCGCACAAUCAUAAUGGCACCAAGAAUGGUAAUGGGAAUGGAGGAAGCAACGGCCAGAACCGUACCAACCCAUCAACCCCAGUCAAGAGAGACCUGAGCCAAGUCACUUGCUUUAAGUGCCAGAAGACCGGACAUUAUGCCAAUGAAUGUCCUGAAUCCCAGAAUGGAAAUGGCAAUGGAAGCUCUGGGAAGAAGCCGAACCCUUUCAAUAGGGGACAAGUGAACCACAUUAACGUGGAGGAUGUUGAAGAGCAGAUGGAUGCAGUAAUCGGUAGGUUUUUGGUUAAGUCAUUUACUGCACUCAUUCUUUUCGAUACUGGUGCAUCGCAUUCAUACAUAUCAAUGGGAUUUGUGGAUAAGUAUAACCUGCCCACCAAAGUUCUUAGAACACCCAUGUUAGUAAGCUCACCAGGAGCGGAGUAUAUGGCUAGUAAAGGAUGUUUUCAAGUGCCGUUGAGUAUAGGUAGGCAUGUGUUUCCCUUGGAUUUGAUCAUUUUGGAAUCACAAGGUUUGGAUGUAAUUCUGGGUAUGGAUUGGCUGUUAAUGUAUGGAGGAAACAUCAAUUGCGCUAGUAAGUCAAUUUUGCUUACCACCCCAGAAGGAAGAAGGAUCAAGUAUGUAUCCCGGCAUGUGCCCAAAAGGACUCAAGUAAAUUCGUUAACAUGAGUUGUGCAGGAGGAAGUACCAAUAGUAAAGGAUUUCCCUGAUGUAUUUCCAGAAGAGUUGCCAGGCAUGCCACCGGAUAGAGAUAUUGAGUUUUUAAUUAAGCUUUUGCCAGGCACAGGGCCAAUAUCUAAGAGACCAUAUAGGAUGCCCGCAAAGGAUUUGGAGGAGAUUAAGAAGCAGAUGAAGGAGUUACUGGAUAAAGGUUAUAUUCUCCCAAGUUCUUCGCCUUGGGAAUCGCCAGUACUUCUGGUGGAGAAAAAGGAUGGAUCGUUAAGGAUGGUUGUUGAUUAUCGAGGAUUGAAUGAAGUAACCAUCAAGAACAAGUACCCACUACCGAUGAUCGAUGAUCUGUUUGAUCGAUUGCAAGGAGCUAAGGUAUUUUCCAAGAUCGAUCUGCGAUCAGGAUACCAUCAGUUGAAGAUUCGAGAACAGGAUAUACCUAAGACGGCUUUUACCACCAGGUAUGGGAUGUACGAGUAUACCGUUAUGUCAUUUGGUCUGCUAACGCACCUGCCUAUUUUAUGAACAUGAUGAACAAAGUGUUUAUGGAGUUUUGGAUAAGUUUGUUGUAGUGUUAAUUGAUGAUAUCCUGGUUUACUCGAAGAAUGAAGAGGAGCAUAAGGAGCAUUUGUGUUUGGUACUUGGGAAGCUCAGAGAACAUCAGUUAUAUGCCAAGGCAAAUGUGAGUUUUGGUUAAAGGAAGUUGGAUUUCUCGGACACGUUAUAUCCGGAGAAGGUAUAGCAGUAGAUCCCACCAAGGUUGACACUGUGACAAAUUGGGAAGCCCCAACAACAGUUGGAGAGAUCCGGAGUUUUCUUGGACUUGCAGGAUACUACCGAAGAUUCAUUGAAAAUUUCUCGAAGAUUGCGAAGCCUAUGACGGAGUUGUUGAAAAUGGAUACCAAGUUCACAUGGACCGAAUAAUGUGAGGCCAGUUUCUAGGAGUUGAAGAAACGUUUGGUUACAACACCAGUGUUGAUUUUGCCAGAUCAGACCAAGGAUUAUGAGGUGUAUUGCGACGCUUCACGUCGAGGACUUGGAGCAGUGAUUAUGCAGGAAGGAAGAGUUGUUUCCUAUGCCUCACGACAGCUUAAGCCUCAUGAGUUAAAUUAUGCCACACAUGAUUUGGAGUUAGCAGCUGUAGUGCAUGCAUUGAAGACUUGGAGAAACUUUCUCAUUGGAAAUCACUGUGAGGUGUACACGGAUCAUAAGAGUUUGAAGUAUAUUUUCACGCAGAAGGAGUUGAAUCUCAGGCAAAGGAGAUGGUUGGAGCUCAUCAAGGAUUAUGAUAUGAGAUUGCAUUAUCACCCUGGAAAGGCUAACGUAGUAGCUGACGCGUUGAGCCGUAAAAGCCGUGUCAACACCUUAAUGAUGGGAGAUUUACCAAGAGAGUUAGCCGAAAAUCUUCGUGAGCUAUGUUUGGAGAUAGUCCCGAGAGGCUAUGUAGCAGCAUUGGAGAUUCAGUCUACUUUGAUGGAUAAGAUCAGAGAAGCCCAGAAGACUGACAAGGAGAUUGCCUCUAUUAGGGAGAAAAUGAGUAAAGAAAAGCUAAAGGAUUUCGUGAGGAUGAGCACGAUACCUUAUGGUUUGAAGACCGUGUUUAUGUGCCCAAUGACCCGGAGAUCAGAAAGUUAAUUCUGCAAGAGGCCCAUGAUUCACCAUAUUCGAUUCACCCAGGAAAUACUAAGAUGUAUUUGGAUUUGAAGGAUACUUUCUGGUGGACCGAAAUGAAGAAGGAUAUUGCGGAGUAUUGUAGCGACCCGACCCGAAUGGAUCAAGUGCUCUGUGCUCAGGUGUCAUCCCUGGAUCAGUAAUGCUGACACCACACAGUACAUCAAAGGAUUUAUAGCAGAGUGGCAAUCACACACUUAUUACAUUGUUGUCUCAAAGAGAACUUUUACAAUAAAUAUGGCUUAAGGCCAUCUAAUAACGAUAACAGCGGAAGACUCGGAAGAUAGAUGGGUCCAUCAACUCCAACGGCAUCACUGAGUAUAGGGCCACGACCUAAAAGCACCUUACUCGACGUCUGAAAAGUCUGCAACAUGAGAAGUUGCAGCCCAAAAACGGGUCAGCACAUGGAAUAUGCUGGCAAUGUAACACAUAGAGAGUAAUGGAAUGAAACAGCUAUACUAUAUGCAUAUAUGGUUGGUGGAAAGCUCUCUGGUUACAGUUUUGCGUAAAGCCAGUUUUUCCCUACUGCAAAGGAAUAAAUUUGUUUAACUAUCAUGGUGGUUGUUAAACAUCGAGAAUGGUUGACAGCAUUCCGAUCCCAAUUAAGUGAACAGUUAAAACCCAACAACAUUAAUUAGAAGUAACAUGAUGAGAUUCACAUGAUAUUCAGGUACUAGAUACUCAAGUUGUCCAUAACCGGGGACACGGCUAAUCAUGAUUAGUUUGUACACUCUGCAGAGGUUUGCGCACUUUUCCCCACAUGACUCGAUCGCCUCCGUUUGUUUUCUCGCACUACAUGGUGUUUGAGAAACGGAUGACCGAGACAUAGUCUUUCAGAAGCACUAGCACCUUACAUGUGGGGUAGACCGUACCACCUACAACCCCUACAUCUGCUAGUCCAUCCCGUGAGAGUUCGCACAACUUAGUCAACUAUGCCAGAGCCCAUAGUAGCAUGUGGCUGCACACGGAAUUUUCUAGCAUGAAUGAUCUUAUGAUCCCUUUGAGCCUGGGUGGCGGUCCAAAAUAAAACAGGCAAGUCCUGAUAGACAUCGGGUGCCUCAAUCCAACCAGAUGCGUGUUUAAGUUGCCACCUUAGAUAAACCAUUAAAAUUAGCAACUCACAUCUGUCAUGGAUAUCACUCACCCAAUCCACGUCUACUAGCAUAGCAUGGCAUAAUAAGCAAACGUAGAAGUAACUCCCAAAGGUUUCAUAAUAAUACAGGUGAUAGGUACUACCUCAUCUACUUCCCAUCCCACAGUUUAAUUAGAUCCUAAUCAUGCAAUGUGAGAGGAUUGAUCUAAUGCAAUAAAACAUGGGUUGUAGAAAAGGUAUGAUCAAAGUGUUACUUGCCUUGCUGAUGAUCCGCGAGACCUAGGGUUUCGAAGUAACAAGCGGCGCAAUCCGGGUGAUCUAUCACAGACAAACAACAAGCACACAAUAAGUACUCAUCUAAUGCACAGGUAAAACUCAAACAAGAGAACGAACCAGGAAGUUCAACUUAAGAACUCCGGUUGCAAAGAAAGAACGAACCGAACAAAGAAACGGAAAACAAACGGCGGAAAAAAACAACUCGGUUCUAGCAAGUUGAAACUAGGUCAAAUUUUACCGGGGCAAAAACUUGUUUAAGUUGAUUAGAUGGAACGGCGGUUUCGAAAUGAAACUCCAGGCGCUUGAAUCACCUGAUUCCGAUAAACAAGCGAGAAGAAAGACUAGAACAAAGAUCGGAUGUGAGAUCGCGAUCGCGGAAUAAAUCCGACGAAAAGAAAGAGACGAACGGUUAAACGAACGGGCGUCGUUAACCGGGGAAUAACCGGUGAUCACGUUCGUGGAGACGAACGGUCCGAAAGAAGAACGAAAACCGAUCUAGGGUUUUUGGAAAAGAAACCGAAAAAGAAACGGAAAACCGAUCUAGGGUUUCGGAAGAAAACCGAAACAAAGAACCGGAAAAGAAACGGAAAAGAAACGGAACAGUUCUUUUAAAGAAAAACCGAACCGGGGAAUAGAAAAAGAGGCGCGGUGCGGGGCUACCUCCGGCGAGGCGGAACUCCGACGGCGGCGAGGCAAGAGCGGCGGCGGCGGCUAUAGGCGCGGGGCGGCGCGGCUAAGGCGGCGGCUUGGGGCUGCGCGCUGCUGCUUGGUGCGGCUUAGGAGGAGAGGGGCUUGGGGUUUUGAUUUGAUGUUUUGGAGGGGGGUGUGGGGCUAUUNNNNNNNNNNNNNNNNNNNNNNNNNNNNNNNNNNNNNNNNNNNNNNNNNNNNNNNNNNNNNNNNNNNNNNNNNNNNNNNNNNNNNNNNNNNNNNNNNNNNNNNNNNNNNNNNNNNNNNNNNNNNNNNNNNNNNNNNNNNNNNNNNNNNNNNNNNNNNNNNNNNNNNNNNNNNNNNNNNNNNNNNNNNNNNNNNNNNNNNNNNNNNNNNNNNNNNNNNNNNNNNNNNNNNNNNNNNNNNNNNNNNNNNNNNNNAAAGGAAAGAGGGGGGGGGGUUACGGUGGCCAGAGUCCCGCUGGGACUCGGCUCGAGCGAGAGGCGGCGGCCUAGGGCGCUGGCGCCUGGCGCCUGGCGCGCGCGGGGCUGGGGCCUGGCCGGCCGGCCUGCUAGCUGGGCCUUGGCCCAAGGCGCUGCGGUUUUUUUUAAACGGUUACGCGCGCAGAAAAACAAAAGAAAAACUAUCUAAACGGACUCCGAAAAUCCUAAAGUAAAUUUUCCCCGACUCCUAAAAAUGAGUCGAACAAAAUGAACUUUUCUCCGGGCCUAAAAUGCAAUUUUCGAAAACACGCAUUUUUCCCUAUCCAAAUAAAAAGCAAACAAAACUCUGGCAAAACCAAAAUUUGAUUUAUUCAUUAAAUCUUCAUUUUUUCUUAAAUUUGGGAAAGUCAUAUUAUUCCCUCUCUCAUUAUUUUUGAUAUUGGAAAAAUAAUUUAAGAUGAAAUAAAUAAAUCAGAUGAUCCUCUUUUCAAAAUUUGAGAAAACUCAAAUAUGAAAAUAACGAAAUCUCCAACUCUCUCCGAGGGUCCUUGAGUUGCGUGAAAUUUCUAGGAUCGGGCAAAAUGCAAGAAAAUAUGACAUGCAUGAUGAUCUAAUGUAUAACAUUCCAAAUUGAAAAUUUGGGAUGUUACAAACCUACCCCCCUUAAGAUGAAUCUCGCCCUCGAGAUUCAGGUUGGCUAGAAAAUAGGUGAGGGUGGUCCUUGAGCAAAUCUUCUUCUCUCUCCCAGGUGGCUUCAUCCUCUGAGUGGUGGUUCCACUGAACUUUGCAAAACUUGAUAACCUUGCUGCGAGUAACUCUGCUGGCAUAAUUGAGAAUCUUGACUGGCUUCUCCUCAUAUGUUAAGUCGUCCUUCAACUGAAUCGCUUUGAGUGGCACGGUAUCUCUUAGCGGUACCUCCGCCAUCUCGGCAUGACAUUUCUUCAGCUGAGAAACAUGGAAUACAUCAUGAACUCCUGAUAGUCCCUCUGGUAAUUCCAACUUAUAAGCGACUUCUCCCAUACGUUGCAAGAUCUUGUACGGUCCAACGAAACGCGGUGCUAACUUUCCCUUAACUCCAAAGCGCUUAACUCCUCGAAGUGGGGAUACUCGAAGAUAAACUCUGUCUCCGGUUUCGUAAACUGUCUCCUUGCGUUUAGAAUCUGCGUAGCUCUUCUGCCUGGACUGGGCUACCUUGAGCCUAUCACGAGUCAACUUAACUUUCUGUUCAGACUCCUUAAUCAAAUCUGGUCCAAAGAAUUGACGGUCUCCAACUUCGUCCCAUGACAAUGGUGUCCUGCACCUCCUUCCGUAUAAAGCUUCGAAAGGUGCCAUCUUCAAACUGGUUUGGUAACUGUUGUUAUAAGAAAACUCCGCAUACGGCAAGUUAUCGUCCCAACUAGAUCCAUAAUCUAGUGCACAAGCUCUCAGCAUAUCCUCCAAAAUCUGAUUGACUCUCUCGGUCUGUCCAUCCGUCUGCGGAUGAAAAGCUGUGCUGAACUCUAGUCUGGUUCCUAAAGUUUCAUGCAACUGAUUCCAAAACUUUGAGGUAAAUUGGGUUCCUCUAUCUGAUACGAUACUCCUCGGAACUCCAUGCAAACAAAUGAUCCUAGUCAUGUAUAUCUUCGCCAACUUAGCACUAGUGUAAGUGGUCUUAACUGGGAUAAAAUGUGCUACCUUUGUCAAACGAUCAACUACUACCCAUAUCGAGUCAUAGCCUGCUUUCGUCCUGGGUAGUCCCGUGAUAAAAUCCAUGCCUAUCUUAUCCCACUUCCAUUCGGGUAUCGGCAAUGGUUGUAACAAUCCUGCUGGCUUCUGAUGCUCUGCCUUUACUCUCUGACAUACGUCACAAACUGCUACAUAUGCUGCAAUAUCCUUCUUCAUUCCGGUCCACCAGAAUGUUUCCUCCAAAUCCAAAUACAUCUUGGUAUUCCCUGGGUGAAUCGAAUACGGUGAAUCAUGUGCCUCUUGCAAAAUCAACUUCCUGAUCUUCGGGUCAUUUGGCACAUAAACACGGUCCUCAAACCAUAGGGUAUCGUGCUCAUCCUCACGAAAUCCCUUUGCUUUUCCUUCACUCAAUUUCUCUUUUAUAGCAGCAAUCUCCUUGUCAGAUUUCUGAGCUUCUCUGAUCUUAUCCAUCAAUGUUGACUGAAUCUCCAAUGUUGCUACAUACCCUCUCGGAACUAUUUCCAAACAUAGCUCACGAAGGUUUUCUGCUAACUCCUUUGGUAUUUUCCCCGUCACUAGGGUGUUGACGUGGCUCUUAUGGCUCAAUGCGUCAGCUACUACAUUAGCUUUUCCGGGAUGGUAAUGCAAUCUCAUGUCAUAAUCCUUGAUGAGCUCCAACCAUCUCCUUUGUCUGAGGUUCAACUCCUUCUGCGUGAAAAUGUACUUCAAACUCUUGUGAUCCGUGUACACCUCACAAUGAUUUCCAAUGAGGAAAUGUCUCCACGUUUUCAAUGCAUGCACUACGGCUGCUAACUCCAAAUCAUGCGUGGCAUAAUUCAACUCAUGAGGCUUCAGUUGUCGUGAAGCAUACGAAACAACUCUUCCUUCCUGCAUAAGCACUGCUCCAAGUCCUCGACGUGAAGCGUCGCAAUACACCUCAUAAUCCUUGGUCUGAUCUGGCAAAAUCAAUACUGGUGAGGUGACCAAACGUUUCUUUAACUCCUGGAAACUAGCCUCACACUCCUCAGUCCAUUUGAACUUAGUAUCCUUCUUCAACAACUCCGUCAUAGGCUUCGCAAUCUUUGAGAAAUUCUCAAUAAAUCUCCGGUAGUAUCCUGCGAGUCCAAGAAAACUCCGGAUCUCUCCAACUGUUGUUGGUGCUUCCCAUUCAGUUACGGUCUCAACCUUUGUGGGGUCAACUACUAUACCCUCUCCAGAUAUAACGUGUCCGAGGAAUCCAACUUCCUUUAACCAAAACUCGCAUUUGCUGAAUUUGGCAUAUAACUGAUGUUCCCUUAGUUUCUCCAAAACCAAACGCAAAUGUUCCUUAUGCUCCUCUUCAUUCUUUGAAUAAACCAGGAUGUCAUCAAUGAACACUACGAUGAACUUAUCCAAAAACUCCAUAAACACUUUGUUCAUCAGGUUCAUAAAAUAGGUAGGUGCGUUAGUCAAUCCAAAUGACAUAACGGUAUACUCAUACAGUCCAUAUCUUGUGGUGAACGCUGUCUUAGGUAUGUCCUGCUCUCGAAUCUUCAAUUGACGGUACCCUGAUCGCAAAUCGAUCUUGGAAAACACUUUAGCUCCUUGCAACCGAUCAAACAGAUCGUUGAUCAUUGGCAGUGGGUACUUAUUCUUGAUGGUUACUUCAUUCAAUCCCCGAUAAUCUACAACCAUCCUUAAUGAUCCAUCCUUCUUUUCCACUAGAAGUACCGGUGAUCCCCAAGGCGAAGAACUUGGGCGAAUGUAACCUUUAUCCAAUAACUCCUUAAUCUGAUUCUUAAUUUCACCAAAUCCUUUGCUGGCAUCCGGUACGGUCGCUUCGAUAUUGGGCCUGUACCUGGCAAUAACUCAAUCAAAAACUCAAUGUCUCUAUCCGGUGGCAUGCCUGGUAAUUCCUCAGGAAAUACAUCAGGAAAAUCCUUCACCACUGGUACUUCCUCUUGCACAACUCCUGUUAAGCAGUUUACUUGUGUCUUGUUUGGCACAUGCUGGGAUACAUACUUGAUCCUUCUUCCUUCUGGUGUGGUAAGCAAAAUUGUCUUACUAGCACAAUCGAUGUUUCCUCCAUACAUCGACAACCAAUCCAUGCCUAAUAUCACAUCCAAUCCUUGAGAUUCCAAUACUAUUAUGUCUGAGGGAAACACAUAGUUACCAAUCCUUAAUGGUAACCGAUCACACCAUCGUCUAGCCAUAAACUCCGCUCCUGGUGAGCUUACUAACAUGGGUGUCCUAAGAGCUUGGGUUGGCAGGUUAUAUUUAUCCACAAAUCCCCUUGAUAUGUAUGAAUGCGUUGCACCAGUAUCAAAAAGAACGAGUGCGGUAAAUGUCUUAACCAAAAACUUACCGAUUACUGCAUCAGGCUGAUCUUCAACCUCCUCCACAUUAACGUGGUUCACCUGUCCCCUAUUGAAAGGGUUCGGCUUCUUCCCAGAGCUUCCAUUGCCAUUUCCAUUCUGGCCUUCGGGACAUUCAUUGGCAUAAUGUCCGGUCUUAGAACACUUGAAACAGGUGACUUGACUCAGAUCUCUCUUGGUUGGGGUCGAUGGGAUGGUACAGUUCUGGCCGUUGCUUCCUCCAUUACCAUUCUUGUGGCCAUUAUGGUUGUGCGAGCUACCUCCUCCAUGGGUAUGCUGAAACUGAAAUCCUGGUUUAGGGGCAAAACGGGGCUUCUGCUGGGCUCCAGAGUUAUACUUCCCCUGUCCAUACUUCCUCUUGCGGUUCUCAAUUUGCUGCUGCUUUCCUUCAAUCAUGAUGGCACGAUCUACCAACUCCUGGUAGUUGUUGAAACUUGCUACCAUCAAUUUCAUGCUUAGUUCAUCAUUCAGUCCUUCCAGGAAUUUCUCCUGCUUAGCUGCAUCCGUAGCAACAUCAUCUGGGGCAUAACGUGCUAGCUUACUAAACUCCUCCAGAUACUGGCCAACUGUCUGUCCUCCUUGGCGCAAGUUACGAAACUCACGCUUCUUCAUGGCCAUAGCUCCUGCUGAAACAUGGGCAGUGCGGAAAGCUUGCUGAAACUGAUCCCAUGUGACAGUGUCAACUGGGUAAGUGGUUGUGAAAUUCUCCCACCAUGCUGCCGCGGGUCCGUCAAGCUGGUGAGCGGCAAACUUCACUUUUUCACCAUCCGUGCAUCCUGCAGUGGUCAACUCCCUUCCUAUCUUGCGGAGCCAAUCGUCUGCUACUAUUGGCUCGGUGCUACUGGAAAACACCGGCGGAUUCAGCCUAAGGAAACGGGCUAAGUGGUCAACAGGUGGUGGUGGGUUGUUGUUGUUCUGCUGGUUCAGGACUAACAUCUGCAUCAAUUGAUUCUGUUGCUGGAUCAACUGAGUGAGCUCCGGUGGGAAUCCAUUGUCACGUCUCGGAGGCAUCUGAGGGUUUUAGAAAAGACGAGAAUUAAGAAUAGAAUGAGGUCUAAAGGGAAAACACUACCCCAAUGCACAUGAGCAAAUGCACACAAAAUCACUUCAUUCAAUCAAACAAGGGCUUACAAUCGGUCUAAAACUAUCGCAAAAGUGCUCGAACUAUAAUGUUUACAGGGGGGGGGGGGAAUGCUACUACUAUCUGGUGGUCAUCUAGAAAUUUGAACCGGUGGAAGACUCCAUGAUAUCUGCUCCAGCUUCGUCUUCAAAGUCGGGUUCACUUGGAUCCGAAUCGGUGUCGUCGAUGAUGAUGUAGUUGUCUGGACAUGCGACGUACUCGUCUUCCUCCGUGGAUGCUAACUUCCUCUUGAGUUCUUCAAUCUCCUGCUUAAGAUCGCCAUUGUGCCUUGCUAGAGCUACGAUCUCGUCCAUGUAGUCCUUGCGUGUAGACUUCAGUUCUCCUUCUAGCUCGAUGAUCCUUGCCUUUGCAUUCUUCAACUCUAUCAUAUCAUUGCACAUCUGGUUCUCGUGGCGUCGAAUGUGUUGGUUUAACUCCUGGAUGAAAGAUGCAAUGGAUCUAUCCUUCUUGGUGCUGACUAACUCCCAUUGUUCAUCUCGGCGUCCGCAAAUCUGGUAGAUAGUGUCCUUGAGGUCUUCUUGGUAAACUUCUCCAAUGCGUCCUAUGGUGAUAUGAGCUGCCAUGCUCCUUCCCAGACUCCAGGUUGGUGCAUUGAAAACACUAUCUAUGGGCUUCGUGAUUGGUGCGAAUGUCCUUCCCGGAACGUGAGUUUGAAUCUUCCAGCGCUCCUCUUCAGGCAGAGUGGCGUUGAAGGUUCCCGUGAAGCUUGGUAAUCCAAUGUUCAGGUACUUGGUGACUUCCUUCAGGUGAAAUCCAAAUGGUGUGCCUUCAUCCGGUUGGGCGUACUUAAUCUUCGCGUUCGUCAUCCUAAUAGGGUAGAAAAGAUGAGGAGUUAGAAAAUGAGAAGAGAAUGGUGAUCUAUGGCUUUAACUUAAUGGUCGUGUCCUACAGUCAGCGUGUGCUCUGGUACCAUCUCUGUAGCGACCCGACCCGAAUGGAUCAAGUGCUCUAUGCUCAGGUGUCAUCCCUGGAUCAGUAAUGCUGACACCAUACAGUACAUCGAAGGAUUUAUAGCAGAGUGGCAAUCACACACUUAUUACAUCGUUGUCUCAAAGAGAACUUUUACAAUAAAUAUGCCUUAAGGCCAUCUAAUAACGGUAACAGCGGAAGACCCAGAAGAUAGAUGGGUCCAUCAACUCCAACGUCAUCACUGAGUAUAGGGCCACGACCUAAAAGCACCUUACUCGACGUCUGAAAAGUCUGCAACAUGAGAAGUUGCAGCCCGAAAACGGGUCAGCACAUGGAAUAUGCUGGCAAUGUAACACAUAGAGAGUAAUGGAAUGAAACAGCUAUACUAUAUGCAUAUAUGGCUGGUUGAAAGCUCUAUGGUUACAGUUUUGCGUAAAGCCAGUUUUUCCCUACUGCAAAGGAAUAAAUUUGUUUAACUAUCAUGGUGGUUGUUAAACAUCGAGAAUGGUUGACAGUAUUCCGAUCCCAAUUAAGUGAACAGUUAAAACCCAACAACAUUAAUUAGAAGUAACAUGAUGAGAUUCACAUGAUAUUCAGCUACUAGAUACUCAAGUUGUCCAUAACCGGGGACACGGCUAAUCAUGAUUAGUUUGUACACUCUGCAGAGGUUUGCGCACUUUUCCCCACAUGACUUGAUCGCCUCCGUUUGUUUUCUCGCACUACAUGGUGUUUGAGAAACGGAUGACCGAGACAUAGUCUUUCAGAAGCACUAGCACCUUACAUGUGGGGUAGACCGUACCACCUACAACCCCUACAUCUGCUAGUCCACCUCAUAAGAGUUCGCACAACUUAGUCAACUAUGCCAGAGCCCAUAGUAGCAUGUGGCUGCACACGGAAGUUUCUAGCAUGAAUUAUCUUAUGAUCCCUUUGAGCCUGGGUGGCGGUCCAAAAUAAAACAGGCAAGUCCUGAUAGACAUCAGGUGCCUCAAUCCACCCAGAUGUGUGUUUAAGUUGCCACCUUAGAUAAACCAUUAAAAUUAUCAACUCACAUCUGUCAUGGAUAUCACUCACCCAAUCCACGUCUACUAGCAUAGCAUGGCAUAAUAAGCAAACAUAGAAGUAACUCCCAAAGGUUUCAUAAUAAUACAGGUGAUAGGUACUACCUCAUCUACUUCCCAUCCCACAGUUUAAUUAGAUCCUAAUCAUGCAAUGUGAGAGGAUUGAUCUAAUGCAAUAAAACAUGGGUUGUAGAAAAGGUAUGAUCAAAGUGUUACUUGCCUUGCUGAUGAUCCGCGAGACCUAGGGUUUCGAAGUAACAAGCGGCGCAAUCCGGGUGAUCUAUCGCAGACAAACAACAAGCACACAAUAAGUACUCAUCUAAUGCACAGGUAAAACUCGAACAAGAGAACGAACCAGGAAGUUCAACUUAAGAACUCCGGUUGCAAAGAAAGAACGAACCGAACAAAGAAACGGAAAACAAACGGCGGAAGAAAACAACUCGGUUCUAGCAAGUUGAAACUAGGUCAAAUUUUACCAGGGCAAAAACUUGUUUAAGUUGAUUAGACGGAACGGCGGUUUCGAAAUGAAACUCCAGGCGCUUGAAUCACCUGAUUCCGAUAAACGAGCGAGAAGAAAGACUAGAACGAAGUUCGGAUCUGAGAUCACGAUCGCGGAAUAAAUCCGACGAAAAGAAAGAGACGAACGGUUAAACGAAUGGGCAUCGUUAACCGGGGAAUAAUCGGUGAUCACGUUCAUGGAGACGAACGGUCCGAAAGAAGAACGAAAACCGAUCUAGGGUUUUCGGAAAAGAAACCGAAAAAGAAACGGAAAACCGAUCUAGGGUUUCGAAAGAAAACCAAAACAAAGAACCGGAAAAGAAACCGGAAAAGAAACGGAAAAGAAACGGAACGGUUCUUUUAAGAAAAACCGAACCGGGGAAUAAAAAAAUAGGCGCGGCGCGGGGCUACCUCCGACGAGGCGGAACUCCGACGGCGGCGAGGCAAGAGCGGCGGCGGCGGCUAUAGGCGUGGGGCGGCGCGGCUAUGGCGGCGGCGGCGCGGCUAAGGCGGCGGCUUGGGGCUGUGUGCUGCUGCUUGGUGCGGCUUAGGAGGAGAGGGGCUUGGGGUUUUGAUUUGAUGUUUUGGANNNNNNNNNNNNNNNNNNNNNNNNNNNNNNNNNNNNNNNNNNNNNACGGUGGCCAGAGUCCCGCUGGGACUCGGCUCGAGCGAGAGGCGGCGGCCUGGGGCGCUGGCGCCUGGCGCCUGGCGCGCGCGGGGCUGGGGCCUGGCCGGCCGGCCUGCUGGCUGGGCCUUGGCCCAAGGCGCUGCGGUUUUUUUAAACGGUUACGCACGCAGAAAAACAAAAGAAAAACUAUCUAAACGGACUCUGAAAAUCCUAAAGUAAAUUUUCCCCGACUCCUAAAAAUGAGUCGAACAAAAUGAACUUUUCUCCGGGCCUAAAAUGCAAUUUUCAAAAACGCGCAUUUUUCCCUAUCCAGAUAAAAAGCAAACAAAACUCCGGCAAAACCAAAAUUUGAUUUACUCAUUAAAUCUUCAUUUUUUCCUAAAUUUGGGGAAGUCAUAUUAUUCCCUCUCUCAUUAUUUUUGAUAUUGGAAAAAUAAUUGAAGAUGAAAUAAAUAAAUCAGAUGAUCCUCUUUUCAAAAUUUGAGAAAACUCAAAUAUGAAAAUAACGAAAUCUCCAACUCUCUCCGAGGGUCCUUGAGUUGCCUUGAAAUUUCUAGGAUCGGGAAAAAUGCAAGAAAAUAUGACAUGCAUGAUGAUCUAAUGUAUAACAUUGCAAAUUGAAAAUUUGGGAUGUUACAAGUAUGUAGCAGUUUGUGAUGUAUGUCAAAGAGUAAAGGCAGAGCAUCAGAAGCCAGCGGGAUUGCUACAGCCAUUGCCGAUACCCGAAUGGAAGUGGGAUAAGUUAGGCAUGGAUUUUAUUACAGGAUUGCCCAGAACUCGUUCAGGCUAUGACUCGAUUUGGGUUGUAGUCGAUCGUUUGACAAAGGUAGCUCAUUUCAUUCCAGUAAAGACUACUUGCACUAGUGCCAAUUUGGCAAAGAUAUACAUGACAAGGAUCGUAUGUCUGCACGGAGUUCCAAGGAGCAUUGUAUCAGAUAGAGGAACCCAGUUUACCUCAAAGUUCUGGAAUCAGUUGCAUGAAACAUUGGGUACCAGGCUAGAGUUCAAUACAGCUUUCCAUCCGCAGACAGAUGGACAAACCGAAAGAGUCAAUCAGAUUUUGGAGGAUAUGCUGAGAGCUUGCGCGCUAGAUUAUGGAUCUAGUUGGGACGACAAUUUGCCGUAUGCGGAGUUCUCUUAUAACAACAAUUAUCAAUCUAGUUUGAAGAUGGCCCCUUUUGAAGCCUUGUACGGAAGGAGGUGCAGGACCCCAUUGUCGUGGGAUGAAGUUGGAGACCGCCAGUUGUUUGGACCGGAUCUGAUUAAGGAGUCUGAACAGAAAGUAAAAUUGAUUUGCGAUAGGCUCAAGGUAGCCCAAUCCAGGCAGAAGAGCUACGCAGAUUCUAAACGCAAGGAGACAGUUUACGAAGUCGGAGACCGAGUUUAUCUUCAAGUAUCUCCACUUCAAGGAGUUAAGCGUUUUGGAGUUAAGAGAAAGUUAGUGCCACGUUUUGUAGGACCAUACAAGGUUUUGGAGCGUAUGGGAGAAGUAACUUAUAAGUUGGAAUUGCCCGAAGGAUUGUCAGGAGUUCACGACGUGUUCCACGUUUCCCAGUUGAAGAAGUGCAACGCGGAGAUGGUUGAUAUACCGCUAAGAAACACAGUGCCGCUGGAAGCGAUUCAGUUGGACAGUUAUUUAACCUAUGAGGAGAAACCAGUCAAGAUUCUUGAGUAUGCUAGCCGAGUCACCCGCAGCAAGGUUAUCAAGUUUUGCAAGGUUCAGUGGAGCUACCACACGGAGGAUGAAGCCACCUGGGAACGAGAGGAAGAUCUGUUGAAGGACCACCCUCACCUAUUUUCUAGCCAACCUGAAUCUCGAGGGCGAGAUUCAUCUUAAGGGGGGUAGGUUUGUAACAUCCCAAAUUUUCAAUUUGGAAUGUUAUACACUAGAUCAUCAUUGCAUAUCAUAUUUCAUUUGCAUUUUGGUUGAUCCUAGAAAUUCUACGCAACUCAAGGACCCUCGGAGAGAGUUGGGGAUUUCGUUAUUUUCAUAUUUGAGCUUUCUCAAAUUUUGAAAAUAGGAUCAUUUGAUUUUAUUUAUUUUAUCUUCAAUUAUUUCUAUUAUCAAACUAUGAGAGAGGGAAUAAAACAACUUUACCAAAACAAAGAAAUAUUGAGGAUUUAAUAAUAAAACCAAAUAAGAUUUUAUUUUGGUUUUAUUAGCUAUUUUAUUUGAAUUUAGGAAAAAUGCGCAUUUUUCAAAACUGCAUUUAGGCCCCAAAUAAAUGUUCAUUCUGUGCGGCUUGAUUUUAGAAGCCGGGGAAAAUUUAUUUCGGGAUUUUUGGAAUCCGUUUAGUAUUCCUUUUGUUUUUUUUCUGAGCGUAAUUAUUAAAAAAGUCCGAACCGACCUUGGGCCGUGUCCGGCCAGGACUCCGCGUCGCCCGAGGGGGGGGGGCUUUAUAUAGCCGCGCCCCGCCCGCAAACCCUAGCCGCCGCCUUCGCCAGCCGCCGCCGCCACCGUCGGAGUUCGCCGCCGACGAGGUCGAGCCGCCCCGGUUUUUUUAGAAAACCGUUGGUUUUCACGGGUUUUUUUUCGGUUUUUUAUUCAUUUUUUAGAUAGAUCGGUUUUUUUCUCGGUUUAGUUAAUUAGCGAGCGUUUGCUCGCUCGUUCGUUUUAAUGAACGCGCUCAUCGUUUAGAUCCAGAUAACGAAGGUUCGUUCGUUAAUCUGUUCGGUGUUUUUCUUUUUCUCGGAUUAAAUCCGCGAUUUUUUUGAUCGCGAUUUCUGAUCCGAUUUUCGUUCUAGUAUAACUUUUCGCUCGUUUAUCUGAAUCAGGCGAUUCAAGCGCCUGGAGUUUCAUCUCGAAACCCUCUUUCCGUUUAAUAAACUCAAACAAGUUUUUGCCUUUAUAAAAUUUGACCUAGAUCCAGAAUAGUAAACGAAGCCUGUUUCUUUUGCCGUUUGUCUUCCGUUGCUUCGUUCGUUUUGAUUCUUUUUGCCAACCGGAGUUCUUAAGUUGAACUAUCUGGUUAGAUCUCUUAUUCGAGUUUUACCUGUGCAUUAGUUGAGUACUUAUUGUAUGCUUGUUUAUUCGCGAUAGAGUACCCGGAGUGCGCCGCUUGCUACUUCGAAUCGCUAGGUUUCACGGAUUAUCAGCAAGGCAAGUAACACUUUGAUCAUACCUCUUGCUACCCAGUUUUUAUUGCAUUAGAUCAACCCUCACACAUUUCAUGUUUAGGAUCUAAUUAAAUUGUGGGUUUGGGAAGUAGAUGAGGUAGUACCUAUCACCUAUUUUAUUAUCAAACCUUUGGGAGUUACUUCUACGAUUGCUUAUUAUGCCAUGCUAUGCUAGUAGACGUGGAUUGGGUGAGUGAAAUCCAUGACAGAUGUGAGUUUGUUAAAUUAAUGGUUUAUCUAAGGUGGCAACUUAAACACACAUCUGGGUGGAUUGAGGCACCUGGGUAUUCCAGCGAUUGCCUGUUUUUCUUUUGGACCGCCACCCAGGCUCAAAGGGAUCAUGAGAUUAUUCAUGCUAGAAACUUCCGUGUGCAGCCACAAGCUACUAUGGGCUCUAGCAUAGUUGAUUAAGUCGUGCGAACUCUUACAAUGGUAGACUAGCAGAUGUAGGGGGAAGUAGGUGUAACGGUCUAUCCGUUCGUAAGGUGUGAGCGCUUCUGAAAGACUAUGUCUUGGUCAUCCGUUUCUCAAACACCAUGUAGUGCGAGAAUCCCAAUAGAGGAGAUCAAGUCUUGUGGGGUAAAGUGCGCAAACCUCUGCAGAGUGUAUAAACUAAUCAUGGUUAGCCGUGUCCCCGGUUAUGGACAUCUUGAGUAUCUAGUACUUGGAUUAUCAUGUGAAUCUUAUCAUGUUACUAUAAUUAAUUUGUUGGGUUUUAUUAAUGAUGUUUAAUUGGGAUUGAGAGGGUGUCUACACUCUCAAUGUUUAACAACCACCAUGAUAGUCAAAUAAAAUUUAUUCCUUUGUAGUAGGGAAAAAUUGGCUUGACUCAAAACUGUAACCAUAGAGCUUUCCACCAGCCAAAUAUGCAUGUAGUAUAGCCUUAUUCUUUCAUUGCUCUCUAUGUGUUACAUUCCCAGCAUAUUCCAUGUGCUGACCCGUUUCGGGCUGCAAAGUUCAUGUUGCAGACUUUUCAAACGAUGAGUAAGGUGCUUUUAGGUCGUGGUUCUAUACUCAGUGAUGCCGUUGGAGUUGAUGGACUCACUUAUCUUCCAAGCCUUCCGCUGUUAUCGUUAUUAGAUGGCCUUAAGCCAUAUUUAUUGUAAUAAGUUCUCUUUUGAGACUCGAUGUAAUAAGUGUGUGAUUGCUACUCUGUUAUAAAUCCUUCAAGUACUGUGUGGUGUCUGCAUUACUGAUCCAGGGAUGACAUCGGAGCACAGAGAUUGGACCGUUUGAGGUCUGGUCGCUACAUUAUUUAUAUUGUUUUUAUGUAUAAUAAUUCUUUUUGGAGUAAUUCAAAUGCCUUUUCUCUCAUAAUAUGCAAGGUUCACACAAAGAGGGAGAAUACCGGCAGCUGGAAUUUUGGACCUGAAAAAGCUAGCCAUGCUACCUAUUCUGCACAACUCCAAAUGAGCUGAAACUUCACGGAGAUGUUUAUGGAAUAUAGAAGAAAUAUUGGAGCAAAUAAUUACCAGAGGGGCCCCACCAGGUGGGCGCAACCCACCUGGGCGCGCCAUGGAGCCCAGGCACGCCCUAGUGGGUUGGGCCCUCCUCGGCCCACCUCCGGUACCCCUCUUCUGGUAUAUAAGUCAUUUUGACCAAGAAAAAAAAUAAGUAGAGGACUUUCGGGAAGAAGCACCGCCGUCUCGAGGCGGAACUUGGGCAGGAGCACUUUUGACCCCCGGCGGAGUAAUUCUGCCAGGGCAACUUCCCUCCAGGAGGGGGAAAUCAUCGUCACCAUCAUCACCAACAACUCUCCCAUCUUGGGGAGGGCAAACUCCAUCAACAUCUUCAACAACACCAUCUCCUCUCAAACCCUAGUUCAUCUCUUGUGUUCAAUCUUUGUACCGGAACUAUAGAUUGGUGCUUGUGGGUGACUAGUAGUGUUGAUUACAUCUUGUAGUUGAUUACUAUAUGGUUUAUUCAGUGGAAGAUUAUAUGUUCAGAUCCAUUAUGCUAUUUAAUAUCCCUCUGAUCUUGAGCAUGAUUAUCAUUUGUGAGUAGUUACUUUUAUUCUUGAGGUCACGGGAGAAAUCUUGUUGCAAGUAAUCAUGUCAACUUGAUAUGUGUUUGAUAUUUUGAUGGUAUGUAUGUUGUGAUUCCCUUAGUGCUGUCAUGCGAACGUCGACUACAUGACACCUCACCAUAUUUGGGCCUAAGGGAACGCAUUGUGGAGUAGUUAUUAUAUGAUGGGUUGCGAGAGUGAUAGAAGCUUAAACCCUAGUUUAUGCACUAUUCCGUAGGGGACUGAUUUGGAUCCAAAAGUUUAAUGAUAUGGUUAGAAUUUAUUCUUAAUACUUUUCUCGUAGUUGCGGAUGCUUGCGAGGGGGUUAAUCAUAAGUAGGAGGUUUGUUCAAGUAAGAAUAGCACCUAAGCACCGGUCCACCCACAUAUCAAAUUAUCAAAGUAGCGAACACAAAACAAACCAACAUGAUGAAAGUGACUAGCUGAAAUUUCCGUGUACCCUCAAGAACGCUUUGCCUAUCAUAAGAAACCGUUUUGGCCUGUCCUUUGCCUCAAAAGGAUUGGGCUACCCUUUUGCACUUUUUUUACCGUUACCGUUACUUGCUCGUUACAAAUCAUCUUGCUAUCAAACUACUUGUUACUUAUAAUUUCAGUGCUUGCAGAAAAUACCUUGCUGAAAACUAC